GGGGCGGGGGGAAGGGGGGGGGAGCAGGUGCUCUGUGUUUCCGCAGUCUACGUCCGCACACUUCACCACAACCAGGAGCCAGGCCUCCUCUGACACCGGCGCCGACGUGAGUGGGGCUCGGAUAUAUCCCAGUAGCGGGCGGAGGGGGCUCAGUGCGAGGGGUCAAAAGGCGUAUUAUUGGUGGUGGAGGGCGAUGGGCAGUCCCCCGGGCCGCAUGGGCCUCAUAGACCAGCCAACACUCGGUCUGUGUGUGUCUGUGUCUGUGUCUGUGUCUGUGUCUGUGUCUGUGUCUGGUGUCCUGAGGCCUCCCGCCGCCGCCGCCACCCACCAAUCGCGCGCACGUGCAGGACGAGUACACAUACACACACGCCCUAGAGUGCGUGUUUCUUCCCCGGGGCUUGCGGCUGCUGCCCGUGCGGGGAGACGGGGAGGGACUCGACCCGGAGGACCUGGACCGCCGACUACGCUGUGCCGCCAGGGCCGCAGAGGCGGGGGAGUGCCGCCGCCCGCGGCUGCUGUACACCAUCCCCACGGGGCACAACCCCACCAGCGCCAAUUUGAGCGAACAACGCAAGCGGCGCAUACUGGAGGUGUGUCCGUUUGUCUGUCUAUGCAUCUGUCCUCUCUGUGUUGUGUCUCUGUCUGCCUGUCUGUCUGUCUGCCUGUCUGUCUGUCUGUGUGCGUUGGGCGCAAGAGCUGUCUGAGGAGGGAUGUGGAGGGGGCGGCACGUGGGGGCUUCAGCGGAUGCGUGUGUCAGGGCCGGCCAACCGUGUCGUGCUCCGUACGCCGUACACGCAGGUGUGCGAGGCCCACGACCUCCUGAUUCUGGAAGAUGACGCCUACUACUGGCUCUACUACCCGAGUGAGGGGGAGGAGGGGGAGGAAGGCGCGGAGGAGGGCGCGAGCUGCCUCAGCGAGGGGGUAGCUGUGAGCCCGCGGCGGCCCCGCCCUGUCCCCGGCCUCCCUGGACUGCCCAGGUCCUUGCUUGAGAUGGACGCGGGCGGGCGGGUCAUACGAGUGGACACCUUUUCGAAGCUGCUGGUGUGUGUGUGUGUGGGGGGAGAUGGAGGGGGCGAGAGAGGGCCAGGGGGCUGUGUGGUGGUUCGGACCUUGUUCGGGUCGCGGCAGCUUGGGGGGAAGGUACGGAAAGGGGGGAAGGGGUAGUGGUCCGCUCCUGGAGCGCUGCAUCGCCAUCCGGACCAUAUCGGUCUCAAACUGGGCUGAGUUCCCUCCGUAUGUACGGCAGCAGCCACCGCCUAGGAGCCCACCGAGCUCUGCACCUUCCACCCUCCGCUUUGUGCCGGGGGGUUUGGCGCCCCCCCUGUCCGCCUCCCGCCCCCACCCGCAGGGCCCGGGGUACCGACUGGGCUGGAUCACCGCUCCGCAGCCGCUGGUGGCCAAGCUGGCUACCUGGGUUCAGGCCAGCACGGUGGGGCCGUGCAGCGCAGCGCAGGUGGGGGGGGGAGGGGGGCCGGGUGCCGUUGUGGGCGGCGGUUAGGGGUAUGUCGUACGGGUGGAGGCAAGGGAGGUUUGUGCCAGUUUGUGCCAGAACUGACGAGUGAAAGUGCAUUUUCGAAGUGCAUGUAUAGUUUGUACGGCUGUAUUGUGUACGGCUGCAGUAUGUACGGCUGCCGCACGAGCUCAGUGUUUACCACAACGUUGCCUUCCUGACCGCCCCCAGCUGCGCACUCUGUCUGCGGGUGUAUGUAACUGCGUAUGUGUGUAUGUACUUCCUGUAUGCUGCUCCUCAGGUUCUGGUGGGGAAGCUGCUGCAGCAGUGGGGGCUGGCGGGCUUCCAGGCGCAUGUGGGGAGACUGCAGGUGGGGUUGGGGAUGAAGGCAGGGCUGCUGCUUAUUCCCCGUCCCUCUCCCCCUCACACACAUACACGACGUACAUCGCGGCUCAGUUCAACAUACAACAAAUGUUCAUUUCUGAUUCGGUCAUCGCUCACUCAUCCACCACCACCCUGGGGCCCCUUAGCGAACACGGCCUUCCCCCCCCUUUGCAACAAUACACAAGACAUCCCCGUCCUUCUCGUCUGCCUCUGUUGUGCACUCGCUCACUCAACCCCAGGCCCUCUACGCGGCCCGGGCCGCCGCAGCACAUGCAGCGGCGGUGAGCCACCUGCGGGGUCUGGCGGAGUGGCGGCGACCCGCGGGGGGCAUGUUCAUGUGGUUGCAGCUCCUAGGUGCGGGAGCAGUGGUCGUCAUAUACCCGGGGGCGGGGGAGGGGGAGGCAGGAGGGAGCAAGGAGGGAGCAAGGAGGGAGGGACCGGGGUUCGGGUGUGGAUGGGGCUGAAUGACCACAUAGGGUUCGCAAUCCCUCGAGGAGAAAGUGGGAUGUGAUGUCAGAUAUGCCGUAUACCCGCCGUACACCCGUCUGUGCUAGCGACUCGCUUGAUAUCGUAGCGGCGCAUAUUUUAUCUGCCUUCCUGUCAAGCCCCGUACACAGGUGGGGUGAGGUGGGGUGGGGUGAGGUGAGGUGGGGUGAGGUGAGGUGAGGGAGGCUCGCCGCCAUGCACCGCCUGUUGCCGCCCGACCCGACACUGCGCCUCAUGUUGCAGGUGGACUGGAUGCUGCCGCGGUGGUGGACGAGCUGGUGGCGGCCAAGGUGGUGGUGGUGCCCGGGAGCUUGUUUGCAACCAGGGGAGUAGAGGUACGACAAUAAGAACGAAGACUGUAGGGGGCGUACGAAGACUGCCAUAGCACCCCUAACGUGGGGCGGGAUGGGUGCCUCCGCCACCACCACCACUUUAUUCCCGCGUGUGUGCAGGAGAAGUAUCAGGUCUGGAUGGUCGGGUGCAUUGUAUUAUUGGGAUUCGCCGCUACCCACAUCCCCUCACCCACCCACAGAUUGUCCGACGGUCUUGGAUGGUCUUGGUGGGGCAGGUGGAGCAGAGGGCGAAAUAAGCCUAGGCGUCACGGAGACCGUGUGGGGGGCCUGUCAUGUGAACUCAGCUUCAGUUGCUGUGCUCUCGCUCCCUAGCUAGCUAACUGCGCAAGUUCCUGACACCAGGCCACCGCACUCUCACACGCACUUUUACCAACUUGUGUCUGUAGGGGCUUUGGCCUCCGCCUAUUUGUUUUUGUCCUCUCGGCGUUUGCAUUCCAGCUGCGCUGCACAACUUCCCGUUGGCGACUACCGCGCAGGCGACAUUGGAGCCGCCUGAGGCUGCGCACCAGCCUGCUGAUGGUGGCGGUCACGUCGCCUUGCAGCCGAGCAGCGGCGGCGGCAGCGCGGGGAGCCCCAGCGGCGGCUGCUGCCUGCGGCUGUCCUUUGCGGGGUGUGCACCGGAAGUGUUUUCAGAGGGCGUAGCCAGGCUGGCAAGUGUGAUACGCACGGCUCGCUCUCGCUGUAGCUAGGUGGGGGGGCUGGUUGGCCGGUAAGUAGUGCCGGGGAGCUGGGGGGCUGGGGGGCUGCGUCUAUCUGCCGGUGUAAUAUAUUCAACAUGCCGCCAGCGUUUCGGCAGCGUUUGUCCUCCGCUGGCAAAAUGGCAACAUCUAGGGGGGGGUGAGGGGCACAGUGUCUACGUGCAGCGAGCGCUGGAGAGAUGCAUGACGGUUCUGAGGGUUGAAGGCUAAUGGCCGCAACGACAUUGCGAUGACAUUCCAUAAGUCUGCAAAUGUCGUACCAUGUUCGUACAGGUUCAUCGAAGAUGCUCGCUCGUGCUCCUCUCUAGUUGCGAGUCUGAUACUUAUGUACGACAUCCCCCACCAGGCAAAUUGCAUUAAUUUUAUUGGGUGUACAUACAUACAUACUAAUUUGACCUUAGCUCUGUGCAUGAUAAGGCGAAUCUGUGUACAAGGGUCAUGCGCACUGCUGCACAUUGAGUUCGUUGGUUUCCAAGGUUGCGCAGCGGCAUUCUGUGUGGACGGACUGUGCAUUGAAGAGAGAGAGGUUGUGGAGAGGGCCGCUUCUCAUGUUUGCAACAAGGUUGGGAAGGAGUCGGCAAGGGCAUGACCGUUAAUACCGUUGCACAUUAUGUACACUAAGGUGCCAACACAAAUGUAUAUUAAAAUUAUAUCGGCCCUGACCAGGUUGUAGAGAAGGCGACCCUAAAACCCCUGUAGUACUACAAAGCAACGAGCUUUGAUAGGAGUAGUAGCCGCUGCAUCCAAGCACGACACGAAUGCGCGAACGAUAAACUCACGCUGCGACAACCCGCUAUACACACAAUGAAAUACACACACAUUACACGCAGCACCUUUCCCCGGCAACCGCUACCACCAGAGUAUCAGAGGCCCAAAAUAGUCCUCCAAGCUACAGCCUGCAAAAACCGAAAUACUACCGCACUCCCGCAUCCAGCGCUUGUUUAGUUUCUCAACGAGAGCAACAUGCACGUAUGUAACAUCAGCACUUGAAUUCUUUUGGCUUCGUGCAUAACACGAAUGCCGUUCAUGCGGCAUGCAUCAACAUCAAUCCAAGUCGCGCUAUCCAAACACACUCACCGCACCCCCGAGUCGAGCUCCCCUGCGUCGGGGCCGCAUGUCGGGGUUGCUAGUGGAGCUCUAGCAGCCGCUCCCCAGGCCCCUCUGCACUACCUAGGGGGGGGGACCGCAACGGCCCCCUGGCCGCCAAGCUGCGGCUCUAACACACACACACCGGGGUGGGCACUGCCCCGCGUUCCUCUCCUCAUACCAGGUGCUCGCGUAGUGGUGUGUAGUGGUGUGGUGUGUGGUUAGGGAUAACGCGUGUUGUUCCCCCCCAACCUUGCACGGCACACAAACAGGCACACACACAGGCACACACACAGGCACACGCACCCUCGCACCCCAUUAGGAGGCCUCGUCACUGUAAAACAGCAUGUAGGCCUGGCAGGCGGUCACGUCCUCCACACUCACGGCCGUCACCCAGGCGUCAUCGCACUGGUACCAGCUGCCCCCCGCGGCCCCGCCGGGCCUCACGAACACCACGUAAUGGCCCCCCGACAGGUCGCCCUUGUGGCUGAUAACGGCAAACAGCCGGUAGCGGCAACUUGGAACGGCGCCGAAUGGCCCACUGCCACUGUCGCUACCGUGGCUGCCACCACCGGUGUCGACCGCAGGCGCGGCAAUCCCAGCACUCGCGGAGCUUGGCUCGGACUUGACGGGGUCCGUCCAGUUAAUGUCGGGUGGCUGUGGGCGCGGCGGAGCGUCCGUGCUGCCUCCACAGCCGUCCGCAGCGGGAGCUUGUCCAUUGCGCAUGCAGUACCUGACGCAUCCCGCAUGCGUACCGCAACGAACAAGACGGCAAGACAAAAUUAAAAACGACAGUCAUGCGCCUGUGGUGGUUUUCUUUGUCAGGGGCGGUACAAGGUACGACAAAGGAUACUACUGCAUUGGCGACGGAGCCGGGAGCUGCGGGGAGCAGUUCGUGUGGAUUUCCAGGAUGAGAAUGGCUUCCGGACUUCCCACGACACGAAACGCCGGCUGGUGUGGAUAACAACGCAACCCCACACAUAUGCAUGUCUGUCCGUAUGUCUGUCUGUUGACGAAACAGUGUCAUUAAGACCUCCUAAAUCGCCAAGAGCAGGUUCGCAAGGAAAACGCUGGAAACCGCACCUUUCACGCAGGAUAGCUGGUGUCGUGUACGGCGCCAAGUCCAGAGAGAGGGGGAAGUGGAGCUUAGUCUGCACGGGACAGGGACGGAAGGGAGGCCAGAGCUCCUCUUCUCUUAGCGGCGAGACAUCCAUGCAUGACGAGCUGAUGGCGGCGGGGGGGACUCUGCACACCUCUGGUGGUGAGGGCCGUUAAGCGAGCAAACAAAUGAUAACCCCAACCGUGCCGAAAGCGUCUGGUGACAUGUACGACACAGUUUGACAGCUCCCAAGCAGUCCGCUACUUGGCCCACCUGGAUCUUCCUGGCGGAGUGGCGGCCCCCGGGGGGGGGAGGAGGAGGUCGGCUGGGCGCCGCAGCCGCAGCAGUGCUCCCCCCAUGUGCCUGUCCCCCUACAGCUGCGGACUGCGAGGGCGGCCCUCCGUGCGGCUGACCCGCCUCCGAAUCCGGUUGCUGCGACUGGUAGUGCUGGUGGUUGUGGUCGUGAUGAUGGUGGUGAUGAUGGUGGUGGCGGUGCUCGAACCGCUUCACAUGUAGCGCCAGUACGGGCGGCAGGCGGCGUAUGGAGAGCUGCUUUACAGCGGGCUGUUGCUGCUUACAGGCGCUGCAGACCCAGGCCUCCCCCGCGGACAGCCGCUCCGGAGUGACGAAGUGGCGCAGACAGCCCUGCAGGGUGGCAUGGCCAACCGCUCCCUGCGCGCAGCGGGGCACGGACGGCUGUGUGGGUCAGGUGGCCCUCACCACAGGACUUCGCAGUCGUUCAGCGCCGCUGUGUGCAGGCCUUCGAAAUGUACCUGUCAUGGCACUGCGAUCCUUGUGACGUCUCAUGCGCGCGGAUAAGUGGGCUUAGCGCUUGAACCCCUGUUGACAACACAUAGCUGAAUAGGACUGUGGCCAAGGAAAACAGUUCAUACCUACCAAUUGCCGCACAUUGUUGAAAAUAGUUUGGCAUACCGCAGCUCGUAAAGAUAGUGGAAUUAGGCGCCCCUACACCUGGUGCAAACUAGAGCCACUGAUCAGGUUGCCAACGUCCCAACCGCCCCUGUCAGGCCUCUGACCUGCGCCGAGUGGGGCCCAUGUACCGCAUCGGCAGCCUGACUCGCUCCGGGCUGACGGGUCGACCUAGGGUCCGUCAUCUGCGCCGACGAAGCCCCCGGCUGACCCAUCUGGGGCACAGCGCCGCUGCCGCCACGUUUCGCCGCACCAGCGCCUCCCCGCAUCACGCGACCGCCCGCACCCCCUCGGCGGCCCCGGCCCCGGCCGCGCCCCACCCUGCCUGUCCCCACACCCGCAGCGCCCCCUCGGCGACCGCCCCACGAGCUGCACGGCGCCUGCCCCUCGGGACAUGAGGCCGAUGGCUGCGAUGUUGCCAGUGGGGCCUCAGCCGCACCCUCUUCCGGGUCCUGGGCUCCCGGGGCAGCCGUGUCCUCCGCGCAGGAAACACUGGCGCCGGGAGUCGCACCGCGGCUGCCGGGGUCGCCGGCCAGCAGCCCAUAGUCAGCUGCCGGAGCAGCGGCUGACGUUUGCGGCUCCGAAACCUGCUCCGUGGCCCUCUCCCCUGCGACCGAGCCACCUUGUGAAGCGCCAGCCCCCGGCAGCACCUGGGGGACAUGCAGGUAGUCCAUGAAGGUGAGUCACACGUUGGGUGCACGAAUUCCAACUCCGCAAGCUGGUCGACCACCUAAUCCGCAAGGUGCUCAAUGUGACGAAUAUCGGCCACUACUAUUUCGCACUGGCGGAAGGCGUCACCCCCCAAUUAUCCAGCUCCAACGGGCUCUCACUCUGCCACCGGAUCCGGUACAUACAUACAUACACGCUUAAGAUUCCUCCUCCUCCCCAUCCUCCUCCCCAUCCUAAUCCGUCCCCCCUCGCACCGCCCGAUCCACCAAACACCCUGAUCCCUUCCUCUCUUGCUCUGCCUCCUUGCCUGCUGAGAGUGCUGCUGCACCGGCAGCGGCUGCGCAUUGGCGCCCUUCUCAAAGCCCACACGCGGGGAGGUGAUGCAGUCGUCCGGCUGGUUGGAGGGCGAGGCCGCACCUUCCACCGGGCCGCCAACACCGCCAUCAGCAGCGCUUUCUGCGGCCGCCAUCGAGUCGCUGGUCGUGCGCGGGAGGCCCUCCACUGCUUCCCUGGAACCACCAACCGCCGCAACCGCCAACACGGCCGCAGGCUUGUUGUCGUACCUGCCAGGGGCACCCGUCGCUGCUGCUCCUGCCGGAUGGCUCCCCAGGGUCCCCACCACCGGAGCACCGCCGUGCGCUCUGACAGCUGCACCCGAGUCCUGAGCUAUUCCCGUGACUGAGUUCGGUGCGGCGAGGGAGGGAGGGGCAGGAGGGGAACCAAGAUCGGAAGCUUGGUUUCGCAAUCUCGACAUGUCGGCGGUGGGAAGUCCUCGUGCGUGUUUGCCUAUAGGGUGCACAUAGCACUCGCCCUCUGUUUCACUUUCACAAAGAUUACCAGCUUGGCAGAGGUAGGCCUGCUUUACGAAUCCACCUAUGCUGUUCCGUUGAGCGACGUUAACACGGUGCCCAGGAGGGACAGCGAGUCCGCACCAUCUUGCCCCUUGACCCCGUGGCCCCCUGGCCCCGCAUGCCCCUGCCGCCCUCGCACCCAACCCCUCCACACCCCUCCCGCACCUGUGGACCCCGGGAAAGGUCCGCAACUGUCAUCUGACGCGGUGCUGGUGCCCUGUGCACAGCAACACAUAAAAAUACACACACACACACAUCGCGGGCGGGGAGGAAAGGGAGAGAUGGCACCUCCACCGACGCCUUCAUGGGGACAGCAUCUGACUGCUGGGACCACGUCCAUCUCGUCUGUGUGCAACAACCGGAAACGGAGCGGACAGGGCGCCCCGGUGCCGACGCCCGCCCGCCCGCAUUCCGAUGUCCAGGUCGCAGGUCGGCCGGAAGAGUGCGGGGAAUCACACACCUCCGUGCACAUGUAAAUCCCCUGUCACGGCGCGGCACAGUGGGGUGGCAGUGCAGCCACCAGGGCCAACCUACUCACCUUGCUCCGCAGAUGCAGGUUGUGAACAGCCCCUGUAGGGAAACCUCGCUCGCAGUGCCGCUGCCCCUCACUCUCUCCACCCUCCUCGCCCUCUGUGGGUACACCGCCGCUCCCCGUGGAGGGCGAGGCGCAAGGGCCCUGGUGGCUGCGGCCCGGCUGGGCCUCAUCGCCCUCCCUCUCUCCUUGCUCCUCGGCAGCCAGAGCAGUACCAGUUACGCCCGAAAGGGAUCGCGACGGGGAGGGCACGGACAGCGUGGACAGCGACGAAGGUCCCCUGCAUGUGGAGGCGGAGGGCCGGACAGCCACCGCAGCUGCCCGGUGGGACGCGCCGUCGGGCUCGGUCUCCUCCUCCCCUUGGGCGCCGGCCAGCAGGUUGGGCGCCAGAGUGGGGGAGGAGGCGGGCGUGCUUUCCGACACGAGCGGCCUACUGCCGGCAGGUGUGUAGGGCAGGUGCGGUGGGCCCGGGGCCACUGCGACCUGCAUGCCGGCCCGGGCGAAGGUGGGCAUGAUGUCUUAGUUCCGGGUAGGAAAGGCGAAUGCGACUUAGGGUUUUUAGGCUUCUUCCCAUUUGCACCUAGGGGGCGUUUGUAACUUCACAUCGUCAGAGACCUGUGUGCAUCCGGCUAGCUUGUCAUGGUGGUAACAUGCGCUCCCAGAGAACCAGGAUUGUCCCCUUCCCUGACCCCGGACGCACCAUGUCCAAAGAUAUGUCUAGGAAAGGGUCGUACGCAGUGGACGUGUGACCACACACAGAGCAGGUCACAUCGCUCCGCAGCACCCCACCGAACACGGCGUCAACCAGCGGGACAAGACCGCGGCCGCGGCAGCUGCCGACCCCCGUGUUGGGCUGCACGCCCGCUUCCGCCACCGCCUCCGCCUCAGCGGCCCCAGCGGCACCAGUUGCUGCAGCCGAGGGCUCCGCCCCGCCAGUGGUCCCUUCGCCUCUGGCCGCCUGCGGCUCCCCACACCGGCCUGCAGAGCUGCGGCACAGGACGGCAAGACCGACGCACUCAUUCCGGCAGAUCAGCACAGGAAGCAGCUUCCAUCAGACCAACAUCAUACACGGCGUGUGCACACAGUACUACUAGGAACUCACUGCGCCUUGCAACUCGCGUAACCCCCACCCCACCAUAUCAACAACACCCUGCACCAGAGUUCAGCACGCAAAUGGGUUCGCCCCGUCUCAUGAAGUACGGUGUAGUGGCCACUGUACGAACCUCUGCACUGCCGGCUGCCGACUUCCGCUCCCAGGCGGUGACCUCUCCGCUGCCGCUCCAUUCGACCCCCCCACCGGCUCCGAGAGACCCGCUUUGGCCACCGGAGGAGGACUGCUGCCGGCACCACAGCCGCCCUCCACCUGAACGCCGACACCGCUGUGGAGAGUAUCAAGAAGGUCACGUGGUGCGCGGGGCAAGGAGGCAGAAUGGGGCCAGAUGGACCAGCCAGUAUCCCAGGUAAUUACCGCUUGGGCCACCAAAUUGUGAAUGUUCGUCCACAGGUGUCCUACCGAGUGCCUCCCAAGCACCAGACAAGCCGUUUACUGCUAAUGAAGGUACCGACGGCCCAACAGGAGACGCAACGCGUUGCCGUACGAGGUCACAUCCUUAGUUAAGCGACCGACAUAUCCCGCUUACCCGCCGGGGUCGCAACUGCCCCCUCACUCUCUCCCCCCGGUGGUUCACCUGAUGGCAUGUGGCUGUCUGGGCCCGGACGCUGGGCUGGUGCUGGCAUGCGGUGGCGCCACUGGCUCCGAAAUCACCGCCGCACCGAGACCUGACAGCGCGGACAGAUAAAACUCAUGCGCGUCUUGCUGCCGGUAGCCUGUGGGGCGCGGUGGCAGUGGUCAGCAGUGGGCAGCUCGGUAAGAGCUCUUACCGGCCCGGCCAUUACCAAGAUGAUGUGACCCUUGCGGUUGUCCUAUCCGGCACUGACUGUACCUGCCAGGCUGUCGGCAAAUGUCCACCACGAGUACAGGAAGUCCGUGGGGCUGAGGGGCGCCCGGUCGCCCGAGUAGGCGGCAGCGAACACCGCGUCCUGCAGAGGGAGGGGCGGCGGGUGGGAGCAGCCGGGCUGGUUCUCCCUAACACACAUGCGGGCACAGGAUUUCUGCAGACGGCCUUGCCUUGCAUGACAUGGACGACCUGGGCACAGGUAUGAGACAUCAGCUCGAUAGGUAGAUAUGGGAGGGGGGCGCGUGAUAGAGAGGGGGGUUACGCCAGGCAGCAGGUGCCCAGCAGCUCUCAACUGGCCAGGUUGCAGCUUACUCUCUGAGCAAGUAGAGGCCCGGGCCCGGGCAACGUACCAGUUCGCAGGAUAGGCAGGGGACCCCGGGCGACUUGCCAUGCCUGAGGCACGCGCUUUGCGAAUGCCCCUGGCCUAGGAAGUAGUUCCUCAUCAACGGCGAGUGAAUGAAGACCUGCGGCCGCCACGACAUGGCAUACGUAGUGCACAAGACUUCACGAGGUGUGCUCACUCGCGCCAGUAGCCCGGCAGCAGCUGGUGGUGUUGGUGAUCAGUCUGCGCACUUACGCGGCGACUUCCAGUGAUAAUUCUUAAGAGGUAAUGGACGAAGAAACAAUACAAGCGAGCAUGCCUAUGAUCCGCGGCAGGACUACCGAGUACGAACCGUGAGUCCCCACCGACCUGCAGAACGCUGUUCAUGAAGCACGUGUUCCCCAGGUUAUUCAGGCCACGAAGGCCGGCUGGAAACCCAUCUGGUGUGACGUCCACGCCACAAGUAGCAGCCGCCCAUCCAAAGGGCGCGACCUUGUUCACCUGCAACCAGGAGCAUGUCCCGAUAUGCAUGCAUGGGGGCGGUGGUGAAUAAAUGCAGGCAGUCUGACGUGUCCGCACCGGGAUGUCAGCCGCCCACCAUCUGGUGUGGUGUGGGGCGGGGUACCAUACCUGAAACCCUGGUGUGCACUCCGUACCGCCGUGAUCAGCUGUGGUGCUUGCGUGCAAAGCAGGUGCAGCUGCGUGUGCUCGCUGGACUGCCAGUACUGGAUCUUUAGCGGCUCGGGCCCGUUUGGUUCGUACAUCGGGCCCCGGGUCGUGAUGUGGUAGCCCGGGCCUCAGGCCCCGGUCGAGGUAACGCCUUGCGACGUGGGCGAGCUGCAAUCACGCGGGCAGGGCUCGGUCACCGAGUGACACACAGCUGGACACACGUCUGGGCCCGGGUGGCACAUGGAGAGGCGGUGGGCAGUGUUGGGGACAUCACUCGUGCGAACCUGGCGGCCUUCAUCAAACGUUGAGUGAUAGACGUAGUCAUUGCAGGUGCAGCAGUACAACUCCGAUCGUACAAUAUCGACGAGCAAUCCAGAGCCUAACAAGACAUGUUCAUGAAGGGAAGGAGUUAGAUAAGCCAAUCCUGAAAGGGGGUAGGCUAUGCACAAAUUACUUACCACACGCGCACCCUCGGAGCAAGCUGCGCCCUGCUGUAUCUGCUUCUGCCGCAACCCCACAUCUGUGGGACACUGCUUGUCCGCACGCGCAGCACGCGUGGGAGGCGUUCGGCGAGAGCCGUGAACUCUGCGAAGUGGACACGGAACCGGGUUUUGAGGCUCGCCGCCCCCAGACUGCCGAACUGACCAAGAAAAGAUGUAUGUGCCGCGAGAGAGACAAACUAAGGACAAUAAAAAUGCUAGGGAGAAAGCUCUUCGGAGGUGACGACCUGACAUUUCCCGUGGCAAACGUUGCAGGCAAGCCCAUGGCCCAGGUUCUGACAACCUUACAUGUUGAAGGAUCAUAUUCCCAUAAUCCAAGGAUGAAAACCCCAUAUUGACAUGGGAACAGGAGCCCUCCGGCCUUGCACGUUUCAUAACGGAGCCUGCUCAAAAUUCCGCAAAGCCUCCCUCUACCUAACACGCCAUACGGUAAUACAGGUAUGCAGCUACUUUGUGGGAGUUAAGGUGUGUAAACAGAGUAGGGAAUAAAACUACAACGUUCCGCUCCUUUUUUUCGCCGUUGCCAGGCAUGCGACUGUAAAGAAUAAUAACAUUGGAAAAUAUGAUGUUAAGUGUUCUUGAGAUUGGGCUUCCUUCUGAUACUAGGAAUGAUGGCCCUCAACGAACGAGCCAACCGACCAGUGGCCAUGCCGGUGCCCUUUUCCAUGCCUCAAGGAUAGAUUCACUAGGAUGCAAUGACUGAAACACGGAGGGAAUUUACUGCGUCUGGUUUUUAUAUUGUUUAGGAAACGUAGUUGCUCGCCUAUGCUCACUGUUGGCUGUAACUCAACGACAUCCCCAAAACAACUAACUAUUUAUCAUACCAAAAAAUAUGUUGUUGGGAGUUGCGGCCGACCUGCUCAGCGCAGACGAGCCUCGGACGCAUUACCUUACGAAGAUUGGCGGCGCGCCAUAUGUUCCUUCAGCGCGCUGCGGAUUGAAGCUCAGCGGCUGCGACUGGAAGCGACUAACGAAAUGCAAGGUUUGCGGAAAUGACCUGUCGUUGGUUUUCCAGGUAUGGCGGUUUCUAUCAGUCGGGUAUUGUCCGUUGUUAGGGUUCCCCCAAUCGCCAUGGCGAUUACAGUACCAGAUGGGACAAUUUGUAUUACGUAGAAAAACGAAGAUGCUUACCGCAUUUCCCGUUGCCGCUCCCUUUCUGUUGUCAAUGGAAGUGUUUUCCAACCGAACUGUUAGAUGUGCGCCACCGGGAACGUAACGAGGGUCUUUCCACUUCGAACGUGCGCUUCAGGAUGGUUGAGCUGCAGAAAUCACUCAUAAAACAACUGACAGGCGUGGGGGCCACCGAAUUGGCUGCUGUCCGAAGAGCUUAGCCAGUAUCCGCUACAAGUCCAUAGCGUGGAUUUGAUUUUCUGUUUUUGGGAUCGUAUGGUAGAGGCGAAGGGCACGUUGUAUAUUCAUUGUUUUCAAGAAAAGCUUUGCCUGGCCUUCACUUCUACUGACGAUGGCUGGGAACGAGGUGCAUCAAAGCAUUGGGUUACGGCGUAGGUUUAGACGAUAAGCUCUUGAAGCUAGAGUAGAGACCGCGUCAUUGCAUGUUCUAAACAUAAUGCUUAGGUUGGGCUCUACUGGUAAGUCACGGACCAUUGCCCCCGGGAGAUUCCGGGAUAGAGACCUGUCAGGAUCGAAAAUCCUUCCGAUGGUGGACGGUAAAGUGCCCCUAGUUGAUGGGCGAUGGUGAUCUUGGAUGAAGUUAACCUGCGAGCUGACCAGGGGUGGAGUCGGGCCGCCGUCGAUCCGGCAGAUUCCAUUAGAUGCUGGUGGUGAGUGCGGAACCUGACCGGCCCACUGAGAAGUUGAUUAUGAUGACUAGACGAGGGUGCCCCGAAAUACUGGGGAAGGCAAGGUUUUGCCAGGUAGCGGCCACGGGUGAAGAUAUGCCCCCCUGUCCCACACAUUAUAGUUCGGUUGAUGGAGGAGGUCCGGGACCGGUUUGAUGAUGACAGGGCCAGUGAGAAGCUGGCGGUGGAUCCACAUGUGUUCGUUUCCGACAACAGCAACCGGGAUGAAGAUGUGCCGAUACCUGGGGUGGAUGGGGCAACCCAAGCACUGUGAAGGCUAUCUUGUCGAGGCAACACGUCACACUGGUGCGCUUUAGGAUGUGUGUUUGGCCAUUGGCUGUUAACUGGCUGCAUGGCAGGGAGCAUGCCUCGCGGUGGUAUAGGGUCUGUCAAGGCGAACGACACGUGUUGCUCGAAUGUCCUGCAUACGGAGACGUAGGCUGCAGUACAUAAAGGACUAAUGCGGUUCACGAGGCUUUUUUUAAUCACUUUAUUAUUAUUAUUAUUAUUAUUAUUUAUUUUUAUUAAUUUUUUUCCAUUGCUAUAAAAAUCGUCAAGACAAACGUUACUCUGUUGCCACCCUUUUUUUGUUUGAUAUGCUGACGUAGGCUUAUGCACCUAUCGGUGAUUCUGUUGACCGCGUGCUUUUCCUGCUGGGUUGCACGCGGCCAGGCUGUGGGAACGAUUCCCGUUGCUGGCGCGCCUUCCGGUGUCAGAAGGCCCCUCCGACUGCGGCAAUGACUCAAACUGAAUGCGGGUAUGAGGACGAACCCAUCUCCACCUCCACCCCCACGUCUGGCCUGGCCAAACGAGAGACACCACCUGGACCGAAACCAGCAGCUGUGACGGCGGCUCCAGAUUAUAAUGGGGCCGGCGUGCCAAACGUUUUCGGAAAUGGCUUCGACUGUGAUGACGGGUUCAGCUUUGGUGGCGACGCGUCUGACAAGCAGGGAUGCACCGGUGGUUUCGCAAGCAGUGCUGCCUUAGACUUUUCAGACCUUGGGGCUAUCCUGGAGGACUGUGCGGUACAGCAGCUGCAACAGUCUAACUUGGGUAAGCCGGAGGUUGGGAAAGAGUGCACCGGCGGCAGUGGUCCCGACUCCCCACGGCACCAAGCAGCAGACUGCACGCCCAGCGCAGAACUUCCUCUUUCCGGACCCACCUUGCCGGAGUUUCACAUCAUGGCGGUUGAAGAACCUACAGGUAGGCAGGUAUGUAUGUAUGUAGGUAGGCAGGUAUGUAUGUAUGUAGGUAGGCAGGUAUGUAUGUAUGUAGGUAGGCAGGUAUGUAGGUAGGUAGGCAGGUAUGUAUGUAUGUAGGUAGGCAGGUAUGUAUGUAUGUAGGUAGGCAGGUAUGUAGGUAGGUAGGCAGGUAUGUAUGUAUGUAGGUAGGCAGGUAUGUAGGUAGGUAGGCAGGUAUGUAUGUAUGUAGGUAGGCAGGUAUGUAUGUAUGUAGGUAGGCAGGUAUGUAUGUAUGUAUGUAGGCAGGUAUGUAUGUAUGUAGGUAGGCAGGUAUGUAGGUAUGUAGGUAGGCGGGUAUGUAUGUAGGUAGGUAGGCGGGUAGACAUGUAGGUAUAUAGAUAGAUAGGUAAGCAGGCGAUUAAAAGGGAAUUACCCUUGAGGCAUAAUGCUUGCACCUGGGUGUGUAGGUAAGACAAGGGCCCCAAGCUAAAAGCAGCAUUACAUACCCAGCAUACGUUUACCGCCAUUAUGGCAUCUGAUACCCUAGGUAGUUAGCUGUAGUAUGGCAGUGUGUAUAGAUGAACAUAGCAUCAUACUCUUCCAGUUCACGAGGCAGCCGGUUCAGGUUGUAUGACCUACAUGUGUGAUUAUACACAUGUGUGUGUGCGUGUGUGUGUUUUAUGUAUAUGUGUGUCGAACUUCAUGCAGUGUGAGUUGGUUGAAACAUGCUAGUGUCUUAUUGCCUCCAGCUUAUUGCUCACCUACACCUUUCCUACUUGAGGCAUGGGAUGGAGCGCUGCUCUCUGAUGGAGAGUUAGUGGGCAGCAAGCAGCAGCCCGGCAGCUAGCUGGGUCAUCCACUCUCUCCGCCAACAACGCAUUCCCCCCUUGCAUACACCAGGGCAACGGAACGUGAUGGGCUCGGCUGAUGAUGUGGACCGUGUACAACAGCUGCUGGAGGAGUAUGAACGCCAGGAGGGACAGAGGAAUCAGCUUUCUUCGUCGUCAUGCAGGCUGAGAGCGGCAUCCAGCGGCAGCAAACAUGAUGGGCACCGGGCUGCUGCUGGUAGUGGUGGUGAUGGUGUGCAAGUAGCCACUUACACCUCCGGGGCAGCAUCCACUGAUGCAGACAGGGAUCGGACAGCGAAGAACGCUGCUGCUGUGGUGGCUGGUACUGGCGGAGUUGUCCCCUGCAGUGAAGAUGGAGACGAUUUGGGUUCUUGGGCUGGGGAGGAGUACGAAGAGGAUCAUGUCCGGGGUGUGCAAGGGGCAUACCUCAAAUAUGCUGCACGUCUAGCUCGGCAGCCUGAUCAGUGUGCAAGGUAUGCGUGGUGGGGCCGCUGCUGUCUGGCAUAGUGUUAAAGGCGGGGUUAUAUACCAAUCAAGUCGGAUCACGGUAUGUUUAUGUAAACAUAGGUUCCACCUUGCAUGCUUGUAGCCAUGAGGGAUGCUACUUAGCUUGUGGAAUGCAGUUUUAGGUAUCUUAAUGGACAGAGUACUCGAUAAUUCUGUGGUAUACCCACCAGUUUGGACCUGGCUACCUGGCUGGUCGUCUCCUCAUUAGCAACUGCAUCGUUUGGUGGCUUAUUUUCACCUGCAGUCACUUACAAUACCCCUUCAUCUAUUUUCUCAUAAAACCCAGCAUUUGUAUAUUGGACAUUUUGUGUUUUUGUGUUUCAUUUGUUUGUUAUUGUUCAUUUUGUGGCUUCAUUUUGUGGUUUUGUGGUUUGACUUCAUUCCAUUCAUGGAUGAGCAUUCAGGUUAUUGUUACUUCGAUUCCAUGUGUCUGCAAGCUGGGCAAUGCGGUGCUUGCCAGGUGGUUGUGUUCUCCUUGUGGACAUGGCAUCUACAUGGCACAACUGCUCACAAACCACCCCAUCAUUUGCCAUUGCACUGCACACAACAGAAAACGCGUUUGUUCCCCUGCUGAGUCAUGGCCUUAUCAUGGCCACUGAAGGUGUGAUUGUUGACCUGCUUAUUACUUGACAGGUACUUGUGGGGUGGUAAUGUGCUGUGGCCUUUGCAAGAGACCCCGCAGCCUGCACCAUGUACAUGUUGUGGGGCUCCAAGGACAUUCGAGGUGCAGCUCAUGGCGCCGGUUUUGGCCAUGGUGCUGGACUGUGCAGAGUGGCUGCAAGGCUUGGAGCUCGAGAUGCACCGGCCCGCCAUCAAUGCAGCAGCAAAUUGGGAUUUCACAACACUUGCAAUUUACACGUGUAGUGCCAACUGUUACCAUGGGCGACUGCUUUCUUCGAGCCCUGACCUGCAGCAGGAGGACACCGUGCUGGUGGAGGAGUAUGUUGCAGUGGCGAAUGAAGAUCAGAGCCAUGUCCGUGAUGAGCUGAAGAUAAUGUAGGAUCAGGCCCAAAUCAUGGACCAUGCCAUCUACAGAGCGUGGUUACGCUUUGUUACUGCAUUAGGCCGAUCUAAGCACGGUUGGAACACAGUUGGAUCUGACCACCUUUUUUUACGGGUAGUAAAGGACAGUUUGCUUUGCAUGAUCCGCUCACAGACGAAGGUGACGGGUACCACCCCUGCGUGAUUUGUUUCAGAUGCAGCUUGCUAGGAAGGCAGUCCCGUUUGGCUGCCCUUCUUCACUUUGAGGCAUCACUAGUACGCCAAUAUUCGUAGGCAUGAAUUUGUCAUCAUAGGGAAGCCAUAUUAGCAAAAUCCCCCUGUGGCAUCAGUGCUAGUCUGGUCUCAGUCGUAGCCAAGCUUGCUGAUGUGUUGUAAAUGCCGGUACGGACCACAUGUUCUUCCUUUCCACGCCUGUGUCUAUUACAGCGACAGGUAAUGGUUUCUUUUUAUUAUUACAGAGUGGGAGGCUUCUGAGCUCAGUUUCUUUGCCUUACAGUAUAAAAACUUGGUAGCCCGUUGUAAUAACAACAACAGUAUGACGACAGUAUACUGUUGUUAUACUGUCUAGGUGCCUGCUGCCUAAAGGAUGUAUCACUAGUGAUGCCAUCCUUUAGGCUGCUUUAGGCAGCGGGCAGCUAGACACCCCUGCCCAUUCACAGCUCUCAAACGUACAGCGAAUCUUUGAGGCACCGCUCAUAAUGAGUAUCCAUGGAUAACGUACUUCAAUUGGAUGCUAAUCAUGCUUUUCAAGCAGAGUGCGAUUUGUACAGCGGACCCCAAACGGGUCACAGAGCACAACACUGUGGUGUCACGACAUUUUAGCGUCACGUUCAUUUUACCGUCUUUUAUAAUCGUCUUAGGUUAUAAUCGGUGUGAGUACGCGAAUUUCGUGUAUUAUCGCGUAAGGUGUUUGGUUCUUAUCUUACACUUCGCUGAUCGACUCAUGGACGAGAUGCGAAUGUACGCUCGUUUGCGUAUGUUUAUGCAUUUUACCUGUGAAUUGUUCAUUUCUUGUGAAUGUUCUGUCACACGAUUAUAAGGUGUUUUCACUUGUGUCAUUUGUGGACUAUACGUCGUGGUCGUACUCGAGGCUUAUCUUUGAGGGCCUCCUGUGAUCGACAGUGAGACUUCGGUAUUUAUAGCCGGCAGCGAGCUUGGAAAAGUCGCUUUACGGCUCAUGAUUGGAACAUUGUAAAGUUCUCUGAGCUAGACAACAAGCCCUGUGCGGUCCUCCCUUCUCGUAAGCCGCAUAAGUAACUUCUUUCCACCAGCCGAACUCCUGUGUGGGCCACUCAACGCCCAUAUCCUUCACGCCGGGCACACUCAGUUGGUGAGGUAAAUCUUUGCCGCUGUUGAUUAAUUGCCUGGAGGGAACUCUGGCCCCUUGCGCAGGUUGCCAUUUGUUUAGUGUCACUACUUGCCCUUUUUGUCGUCAAGUCAGCACUUCAAGCUACCUGCAGGACUUCGCCAAGCCACCCUGCAUUCCAUAGCCGUAAAGCCUAAAUCAGGCUAGAAGACCAAGUAAGUUCGGUUUUGGGUUUACCUUAGGUGUUCUGUCGCCUAGGGGAUAUUCGGGUUGCUUUUCCCAGCACCCUUUUUGGUAGGUUAGGCAGGCUAGGUCACGCCAGCCGCAGCCGGUCAGCAGUGUUACGCACAGCUGCCCUACCAUUCAGCAAUUUCGGGCCAUUUUCUACUGGGUCGAUUUGCUUGUGUAUUCGGUCACUUUUACAAUCGAUACUGUGUCACGCACAGCCGUUUUUUGAACACUCGAUACCGAAUACUUGAUACGAUCCACUCGUUUUACCAUCUAGGCUUGGUCAGCCCAGCCUAACAUUAUUCUUAUAUAAUACAUUCAGCUCACCUUAACAGUAGGUUCGAGCUUUUCUGUGCUUAACGAGCAUUUCGCGUACCUCUGGCCGAAUUAUACGGGGUCACACCAAUUCUUUUGCUUUCACUAGCCUCAAUUCGCUACUGCAGUUUACAUCGAGGCAGUUAACCCCAGGCCACGCAGAGGACGCCCGGGGCGCAAUCCCUUUUGGUUUUCACACCAACACUUUUCUUCGUCGUGGUGUUCGGGCCACUCCAGUCAGACACCGGCACCAUCGGCUGAUUCCACAUCUUCGAGCCUCUUGGCAAAUCUCCUGUACUCAUUUACAUAGGUCUUUUGGCUCGCGGCGUUAGGGUCGACAUCGAGCCGCGACCGGUCAUUUGCAAUAUCCUGGACCAGCUUCUCAGGCCGAGGCAAACUAUUGUUAUCAGCACAACAGGUGGUGCAAUUUCCUCUAUUUGAAUACGGAGACUUUUGUACGCCUAAGCGCAAUGAUAUGAUGGAGUAAACGCUGCAAGCUUAUCGAGUCGGUACUCCACUCUUUCCCGACGCAGCGUUACUAAUUAUUCCAGCUGUUUCACGCAGCUACUCUUAAUUUUUGCAGCUCAAUACAACGCAACUUUUCAGCGACACCAGCUUAGGUGGGGCGGGUGUAGUACUCUUUAGUAGUCGCUAGGCUUUUUAUUGCUUAGUCCUUGCCUGUUCGCUUCGCGUUUGUUGCUGCAUCUUUCUCUUUUCCUUUUUCUCAUCUUGUUUUUCGUAAGCUAAUUAUUACACAGGGAAGCAUAAGUCCCACGGAGCCUCUACGUCGCAACAUCCCGCGGGCCGCCACUGCGCAACAUCUUCGCUCGACUACUCAGCGAGAUCAGCAGGAGGUAAGCAAGGUUUCGCGUAAGGAUACACGUAGGGUGUCCACCUCAGGGUCUAGUACUAGCGAAGCCGCCCGUAUUCCGCGCUCGCGUUCCGAUAGUGGCUUAGCAGUACAGGUGGAACGUCCCCUGACUAAGUUAGCUCAAACUGAGGGUGAGGUUGCUGCUCCACUAGAAACCCUCGGAACAGAUUCCGAUAGGGAGAAGUGGUCGCGUCUCUUUGAAGCGCUAGGUAGGCCCCGCACCUACAUCAACCCUAUAUUUUCUAGGGACAGCGAUUCUGACGACGAAAUCAUGCAGAACCUUUACCCUACCCUCGACCCGUUCCAGCACAACGGGUUGGAUGACUUCCUCACCAAGGUUUUUCAGCAGGGAGUUGCCUACCCGCUCACUAGGAACAACUUGUCUGUUGAGAGCCUCAAAUCGUACCUUGACGCACUGCCUGGUCGUAACACGCCAUUCGAGGCGUGGUACAACUCCCACAGACAGGACCUCGUAGCCAAAGCUGCAGCGCACUUCAGAGUAGCUGAACCAGGUGCGGCGGCCAACGCAAUCUCUCCUCGCCAACUGUACGACUAUUAUGCCCACAUUUUAGAGGAAAACUUUGCCUCCGCGCGCGCGGAAAGUGAUCUUGCGCGCUUCAGAAGCAUGCAGCAGGGAGCUCUCUCUCCCAUAGUCUUCAAGGAUAUGCUGCUAGCGCUGGAGAAAAAGCUGGACGGUAGGGUCAGCAAACACCAGGUCGCGGAACGUUUUCUAGAGGGCUUAAACCCCAUGGUUCGGCAUCACCUGGAGAGGCACCUCAUUACCGUGGAGCGUACCAAGUGGUACGAUCGUUUGGAGAAGACGGCACAAGAGGCUGAGGUUGUGUGGAACAACCUUCCGUUGGAGGACGGAGCAGUGCAGGUACACAAAAAGCCGCCGCAGCAGAAGAGUGCAGCAAAACCGCUUAGCGAGGAAAAACGCACCUUUUACUGCGAGAAGCACGGCACCAAUAAAUCUCACGAUACGGCGCAGUGCCGUGUCUUAAAUCCCCCAAAGACGAAAUCCGCGCUUUUGACCUCUGACAUCCCCUCCGGAAUUGUUGAGCGUUUGGUUGCCUUGAUUUCCCAGGGACAGGGCAGCGCGUCGACCUCAGGGGGGUCCAGGGGAAUGGGCGGGCAAAAGCAGAAGGGGGCUGGGCCAUCUAUGCCCAAGCAGGGACAGGGUGCUAGCGAAUCGCGGGGGAAUAGGCCAUCUUGCGAGUUCUGCGGAACCAUGGGUCACCAGCAGAGCAAGUGCUUCAUUUUCCACCCCGAGCUCGCUCCCGCGGACUAUGAGCCCGCUAACCCAGCCCUGAAGGUUUUAUUUCUGCAGCGCAAGAAGGCGGUUGAAAAGAAGGCGGCCUUGGCGGCGGCUGUUGCCGCAGCUUUCGAGGACGACUUUGAAGCAGAGGACGAGGGGGAUGAGGAGGCGGCCUGCUGCACGACGCAGUUCCAUGAAGCGGCGUCUAACGCCUCUCCCAGCCAGCAGGCCAGGAUGGCGCCACUCACAUGGACGCGCAGCGCACAAGAGGUAAGGUACAACAGCUUAGCCACUAUGCAUUCGCAGGCUGUUCCUAAGUCCUUUACUCCUGCCCCCUUAGUCACGAAGCAGUAUCCGCCACCGACACCACCCGUGGCGAACAACUCAAAACGCGCCCAUACACUGCUGGAUGACAAUACUCUCUUGCGUAAAAUCUCCGACAUGCCUGUCGGCACUUUUCUUAACCUGCUCUGCCAGCAGGGGCUGUCUUCCACCGGCGGCCCCUUAGACGCUAAACCCCAUCCCCCAAGCACGGCCCAAGCAACGCAGGGUUCAAGCUCAGUUUCGAGCAGCUUUGGGGAGGGAUUUUCCACGCUUCAGGCAGACAAGAGUGUGCAGCUCGCCUGUUUCCCGGCGGCAGCACCGGAGCUGGUCACGCCACCUCCCCUUGAUUCUGGCCUGGCGUCUUUUGCCCUGGCGGCCCAAGGGCGCGCCAAACCCUCCGACCACCGUGGUGCCGGUUUCGAGUACCAGGUAAGUGGGGUUAAGGGUCCGCCUCCGUGCACUUUGUCGGAGCUCUCGCCUGACGAGCGGGAGCAGGCUUUAGCGGUUAAUCCGUCGGCGGCGCGUUACAUGGGGGAACCCGAGGGUCUGUAUUACUACGAAACAGGGGCGUGUGUGUUGGUUCAGGGGCAGCGCGACAGGGCAGCUCCGGAGGCGUUGUGUGAUUUUGCCGCAACGGUCAACGUAAUGCCGACCAGUGUAGCCAAAGCACUUAACCUGCCCAUAGUCGAGACAACCACGCGGCUGUCCACCUCGUUGCAGCUAGGGGGUGCUGUGCGAGGAGAGUUGGACACCUCAAACAUCUUUUUUGAGCUUCUUCUGGGCACGCCGCAUGCCACGCGGGUCCCGCUUACUAAAACCCUGGUCGUUGACGAGCGACCCGACCUGUUUCAGCUCCUAGUGGGUAACGAACAGGCGAAAUUCUUAGGGGACGCUCUGGAAUCAUAUCCAGAGCCCAGGCUGCACUUUUAUCCUAACUUUUUGCAGCACCCCGACUACAAAGUCACCAUUCCCAUGCGCAAGCUUGUGAAGCACAAGCCUUCUCAGCAUGGUUCACUUGUGGGAGUUGCGUGGGUCAGCAUGGCCAUUCCCAGCACCUCUUCUCCCGGCUCCAAGCUGGGGGGAGGGGAAUCCACCGCUGACGUCCAUCCUAUUCCGCACCAGUCCUCUCAUUCCUCUGAGCAGGGCACGUCAACCGCCUACGUCAACAACACUAGGCGAGAUUACUGGGGCAACUUCGCGUCCCGGUUAUCAGUUGGUGCGAAUCAGUUUGGUUCCACUUUCCUUAUGCUUCUUACGUAUGCCACUUUCUUUGUGGACGCAUUUAACAUUGGUUUUGUCAGCCCCGUUCUCACGGCGUCUGCCGUACGCACGUGUUUUGUUCGGUGCUACAGUCAUAUGACGCGACAGUGGGGGCCCUAUAGCUUGCACUACGUGUCCAGCUAGUCAGGCCAGGGCGCACUAACAUCACUGGGCUAAAUGCCCUAUGUUACUGCAGUUACUGCAACGAAACACGGUAAAAGCACCCAACUCAGGAUAUCCUGAGCCGGUGAAUGUGCGGGUUGCCUAAAAUAGGUGAUAACAGCCCAGGAUGGGUGUGUAAAAAAGGCAAAGCACAGCCUAAUCAGGGAAAGAACCACCUAGCAAAACCGGAUGCAGACCUCCACCCAAGGAAAGCCAAACAGAACACGACCUCAAAAACGCAAAACGCCCAGUCCCCCACCAGCACCCAGAAGCCCUUGUGAACGACGAGAGCUCCCCCUGGAGAGACGGGACACAGCUGCCUAACAUACGAGACGGACCCGCGAAGCACACCGAGGCAUUCACACAAACCGGCGAGGGCGCCUUCAUGUUCCUAGAGGUGUUUGAAGACCGGUCUUGAAGACCGGUCUUGAAGACCGGUCUUGAAGACGGUACAAACACACAAGUGGCAAAGGACAAGCUGUGUCUGCUUCCUGAAAGCCGGAAAAGGGGCGGGGCCCCUCUGCAUCCGUACAGGCCGGUAGCUAGGGUGGCACGUGUGACAAUUGAUGGGUAGUGUCGAUUGUCCCACCACGACACAUGGUGGGAGCUGUGCCUGUUGCAGCAGUGCUGAUGCUGUGGGAGGUAUGGAUGUCAGCGCGCGGGAGGCAGGAAGCUGGGGCUCAUGACCUGUUGAACAGAUGGUAUCUCUCUGGAACCUAGCAGACACGGCUAAGAGUCAUUGGCCGUUACAAUUAGUUGGGAGGUGCACGACCUACCACCGACAGCCCCUUGCUUGGGCGUAAACGUAUGAGUCUGACAUGCCAUUACUGGCACACAGCAGGGGCUUGGCCUCCAUGUCCGCAGUCCAGGCUGGCUGCUCAACACUCAGCAGACAUAGUCGUAGCUUACCAGCCUUCAGCCUGUUGGCCUUGCGGUCUGGUGCCGCAGCCAUAACACACACGGAAAACAGCACUGUACAGCACCGCACACACUGUGUACGGUGCCCCUUCAGGCAUUGACUUGCCCAUUCGGGCGCCUGCUCACACGCCCUUGGCACCCCCCUCAAAGCCUAGCUCGACACACUUCCCCAAAGCCCUCAGCAUGUUCCGGUGCUGUCUGUGAUGUUUACUCCCGAAGUGUGAGCGGCUUCAGCAAUCCGUCCCACAGCCGUGCGGCACAUUGCAAGUCUUUGGAGGCCUCGAGCAUUGGCCAAAGUAAUUUUACAAACGAGCAGAUUGCGUACUUCAUAGAAAAAUGAAAGCAAAUUUGUCGGCCUGCUGUGGCAAGUCGGAAUGCCUGUGGGGGCAAAUGGUAACACAAGCUGGGUGUUCGAGUUCUCAUACGCUGUCAUCUCAGAUUUCAGUUAUGAGAUACGCGGCACCUUUUGAGAUUAAAUUUAGCCCGAGAGGCGUUGAUGUGACUUUGGCCUCGGUGAAUGGGGCAGCCAAACUUGUUUGUGCUCGUACGAUUUUUGUUGGCGACGGGUGAGAUACCUUGCAAUGGAGGAUGCAAUAUAUUACCAAUAACGCGUUUCAGCCGGGCGAGAUAUUAUGUUUUAUCUGUUACACACACACGGCCAUGCGGCCACACGGGCACACGGACAUGGGCAAUCCUACAGGGCGGGGGCCCCUGGGGCGCUUCACACUGGGGCCCCGCCCAAAAAGCCCUCAGACCAACACAUGCGAAACGAGAAACGUGACUAAUUCCUGAUACUGGCGCGGUGGGGCCAUCUUGAGUUCGGAAACGUUAUCUCAGAAGGGCUUGCCCGAAUGGUCCAGGUGCUCCACGGCCUUGAUGUAGGAGAUCAAUUCCGGAAUUGAUCAACGUGGCAGUGGUGGCAGCCACGUGGCAGUGGUGGCAGUGGUGGCAGUGGUAGCAGGAGCCGUAGCAGUGGCAGCGGUUGCAGUGGCAGCAGUGGCGGCAGAAGUGGAGUCGGUGGCAGUGGGCUGGGCCACAUUCAUAGUCGGUGUGUCCUCUGCCUCCAGCUGAUGUGUGGCCAUCAUGGCCCCACACCGCUUCCCUGGGGACUGCAGCCGCUCGAAUGCAGUGGCCUUGGCCAGUUGCACAGGUGUCAUUUCUGGACUUGUGGCACUCAAUGGCGGCCGCUUCAGUUUAAGCUCCUUGAUUACAGAAGCCACCGGAGCAAGCUCUGCACUCCAGCGCAAAGCUUUGGCCAUGGCUGUGCAGCUUGCCAGCUUCACUGAAGGUGUUGAGCUGUGUAUGGCUUUGAUGGCCUUCAGCCUGCAAAGGAGCAUGCUGUCGUUGGUUGUAUAUUGCUUUAGAUGUGGGCACUCUUUCAACCACCCAUGGACAACCCUCUUCAGAAGGGGUGUAGCAGCCGGUACACAGUACGGCGCUAUAAAUACGCGCAGAGCGCGACCGCCAGCAACUCGAGAGACCUUUUCAGCGGUCAGCUGCUACAUUUGGUAUCGAGACCUCGUGAAAUUUCACGAUCCUGAAGUCGUCGGUUCAACCCCCACCGUUCACAUUCGAGUGGUAUUCGGGUGCGGCGACUCAGAGAGCGAAUAUCGCACAAAUAAUUAAAAUAGCUGAACCGACUGGACUGUCUCUGUGCCUGAAAAAUCUGAAGACGGCUAGGCGCAUGUGAGCCGGCACAUGACGUGACGUGGAGUAAUUACCCACUGCCCGAGGGUAGGCGAAGGUAGGCACAGGCUGGCGGUAUACGAGGCUCUAAGGGCCCGGGACGGUUCCCUUCAAAGGGGGGGGAACACUCUGGGAACCUGGAGCCUUCAUUCUAUAUGCGAUUCACACUCAUUUCACACCUUAAUGAAGACCCUUCAUACCUUCAUGAAGGUACCCUUCAUUCCACACCAAAUCGAGGGCCCCGGGUCAAUUUAGAAUGAGGACCACUUCAUUACAUAAUGAAGGUAGCUCAGAAUGAACGUCCCUUACGCUUUGAAUACCCCUUCUGUCCAAAAUGAAGGUGGUCUCCAUAAAACGAGCCCAUGUCCAUCACGUGAUAUGAAGGGCCCUUUCAGUCCAAAAAGAAGCCGUCUCCAUAAAAUGAAACAUAUAUAUCACGUGAUAUGAAGGGCCCUUUCAGUCCAAAAAGAAGCCGUCUCCAUAAAAUGAAACAUAUAUAUCACGUGAUAUGAAGGGCCCUUUCAGUCCAAAAAGAAGCCGUCUCCAUAAAAUGAAACAUAUACAUCACGUGAUAUGAAGGCCCCUUUCAGUCCAAAAUUAAGCCUUUUCAUAAUGUCCAUCGCGCCAUAUGGACACGCCUCCAAUCCUAACUAGGAAGGCGUGUUCUUAUCACAUGAUGAACAGCGUCUUGAUACGGAUUUGCUUAUAAGCCAAGCCGUCUCAAGACCCUGUCCACCAUGUGAUAAGAACACGCCUUCAGCCCUAAAAAAAGGCACCUCCACAAAACAAGACAUUGCAGCUGUCCAUCACAUUGCAUGUGCAUUCAUCCCAAAAUAAACGUGCAUCCAUAACCACCGUCGUUUCUUGCCCCCCUUCCCCUUCGCCUUUGUUUCCAUGAUCCGCUUCAGUCAAGACGACAUCAGGUGCAGAACGGCUGUGCUUUGAGGCGGCCUUUGCUGUCAUCAUGGCUGUUGCAAUCUCCACCGCCCACAUCUGUCGCCCACUGCUUCACCAUGUCCAAGGUGGUUGACUGCAACAGCAGCGGGACAUGUGUCAGUCAGUUAGUUAUAGACAUAUAGGCUUGGCGGAGUAAAAAUGGACAGGUUGCUAUACUGAAGCACACAAUUAACACGAUGUCGCAAAACCAUGCAAUUCUUGCUGAGCACCCAACCAGCCUAUUUGUAACCCUGACAUGAAACCAACACAAACUUUGACAGGAGCUCACUUUCUGAUUUGCUGCUAGGUGAUUUGGUCCAGUGCUCGACAUCCAUUGGUCAUGGGGUCCGGCUGCUGCUUGAAACAGCUUCAAGACACUGCUCUGCCUCCUCGACACUCAAGAGCUAAAAUACAUCUGCAUUGAAAACAAAUAGAGGGGCAAAGAACAAUAAAACAUUACGUUAGUUAUCUUGCAGCAGCAUCGGACUGCAACCCUUGACGGCGGUAAAUAGCUAGCAUACAUGUCAGAAUAACAGAUAGAAGCAGGUAACAAAGUUCUGUGAUGACGAGUACAGAGUCAUGAUGUGGCCGCCGGCAAUGUGGACCUGGUCAACACAGUCCCGUGACUCACCCAGCCCGAGCAGCUUGAAAAUAUUGGUCUGCUCCUGUGCCUUCCAGUCACAUUGGAAGAUUUCAUUGUCACCAUCGUCAGUAAGAGAGCCCAGCAGACUGGACCUAAGGGCGCCCUCACAGAGAAGAAGCCUCUUCUCAAACUUCAGCCUUGUGGCAAGCUCUUGUCCUCGCUCACUUAAAUGAGGUCUAAUAGCAUAAACAUCUGUAGUCAACGCUUUGUGUUGGCAGUGAGUCGCUGUUAGAUGCUCAAUGUCAAGCGCAGUAGUAAUCGUUGUAAAUCUGUACUUACAACAAAAUGGAAGAACUAUGGCAUCUAAGAUUAAGGAAGUGUAUGCAGGAUUUCUUGAGUGUCACCGGUCCACUGCAUGCCGUACCUGGAUUGUAGCAUGCAGUCCGUCAAGGUUCCAGCUAUGAAAGAGUCCAGAAUGAAACUAAAGCUAAUCUAAAUUUCAUGGAUUGAUUAUGGCAUCGAGUAAGACAAAUGCUCCAAGGCUGUCACCUGUGAACCUGCCAGCAGCACUUAGUAUGUGCCUUGAAAGGAAUUCCAAGUGAAACCUCUCUCUGACACCUCUCUAUCGACUUCCAUGCCCAGCAGCAUGCCAGCAUACAUGGGAAGUUGCAGUCUGAAGCCGGCACGGGANNNNNNNNNNNNNNNNNNNNNNNNNNNNNNNNNNNNNNNNNNNNNNNNNNNNNNNNNNNNNNNNNNNNNNNNNNNNNNNNNNNNNNNNNNNNNNNNNNNNNNNNNNNNNNNNNNNNNNNNNNNNNNNNNNNNNNNNNNNNNNNNNNNNNNNNNNNNNNNNNNNNNNNNNNNNNNNNNNNNNNNNNNNNNNNNNNNNNNNNNNNNNNNNNNNNNNNNNNNNNNNNNNNNNNNNNNNNNNNNNNNNNAGCGAGGGGAGAACCUACACUCUGGGAACCUGGAGCCUUCAUUCUAUAUGCGAUUCACACUCAUUUCACACCUUAAUGAAGACCCUUCAUACCUUCAUGAAGGUACCCUUCAUUCCACACCAAAUCGAGGGCCCCGGGUCAAUUUAGAAUGAGGACCACUUCAUUACAUAAUGAAGGUAGCUCAGAAUGAACGUCCCUUACGCUUUGAAUACCCCUUCUGUCCAAAAUGAAGGUGGUCUCCAUAAAACGAGCCCAUGUCCAUCACGUGAUAUGAAGGGCCCUUUCAGUCCAAAAAGAAGCCGUCUCCAUAAAAUGAAACAUAUAUAUCACGUGAUAUGAAGGGCCCUUUCAGUCCAAAAAGAAGCCGUCUCCAUAAAAUGAAACAUAUAUAUCACGUGAUAUGAAGGCCCCUUUCAGUCCAAAAAGAAGCCGUCUCCAUAAAAUGAAACAUAUACAUCACGUGAUAUGAAGGCCCCUUUCAGUCCAAAAUUAAGCCUUUUCAUAAUGUCCAUCGCGCCAUAUGGACACGCCUCCAAUCCUAACUAGGAAGGCGUGUUCUUAUCACAUGAUGAACAGCGUCUUGAUACGGAUUUGCUUAUAAGCCAAGCCGUCUCAAGACCCUGUCCACCAUGUGAUAAGAACACGCCUUCAGCCCUAAAAAAAGGCACCUCCACAAAACAAGACAUUGCAGCUGUCCAUCACAUUGCAUGUGCAUUCAUCCCAAAAUAAACGUGCAUCCAUAACCACCGUCGUUUCUUGCCCCCCUUCCCCUUCGCCUUUGUUUCCAUGAUCCGCUUCAGUCAAGACGACAUCAGGUGCAGAACGGCUGUGCUUUGAGGCGGCCUUUGCUGUCAUCAUGGCUGUUGCAAUCUCCACCGCCCACAUCUGUCGCCCACUGCUUCACCAUGUCCAAGGUGGUUGACUGCAACAGCAGCGGGACAUGUGUCAGUCAGUUAGUUAUAGACAUAUAGGCUUGGCGGAGUAAAAAUGGACAGGUUGCUAUACUGAAGCACACAAUUAACACGAUGUCGCAAAACCAUGCAAUUCUUGCUGAGCACCCAACCAGCCUAUUUGUAACCCUGACAUGAAACCAACACAAACUUUGACAGGAGCUCACUUUCUGAUUUGCUGCUAGGUGAUUUGGUCCAGUGCUCGACAUCCAUUGGUCAUGGGGUCCGGCUGCUGCUUGAAACAGCUUCAAGACACUGCUCUGCCUCCUCGACACUCAAGAGCUAAAAUACAUCUGCAUUGAAAACAAAUAGAGGGGCAAAGAACAAUAAAACAUUACGUUAGUUAUCUUGCAGCAGCAUCGGACUGCAACCCUUGACGGCGGUAAAUAGCUAGCAUACAUGUCAGAAUAACAGAUAGAAGCAGGUAACAAAGUUCUGUGAUGACGAGUACAGAGUCAUGAUGUGGCCGCCGGCAAUGUGGACCUGGUCAACACAGUCCCGUGACUCACCCAGCCCGAGCAGCUUGAAAAUAUUGGUCUGCUCCUGUGCCUUCCAGUCACAUUGGAAGAUUUCAUUGUCACCAUCGUCAGUAAGAGAGCCCAGCAGACUGGACCUAAGGGCGCCCUCACAGAGAAGAAGCCUCUUCUCAAACUUCAGCCUUGUGGCAAGCUCUUGUCCUCGCUCACUUAAAUGAGGUCUAAUAGCAUAAACAUCUGUAGUCAACGCUUUGUGUUGGCAGUGAGUCGCUGUUAGAUGCUCAAUGUCAAGCGCAGUAGUAAUCGUUGUAAAUCUGUACUUACAACAAAAUGGAAGAACUAUGGCAUCUAAGAUUAAGGAAGUGUAUGCAGGAUUUCUUGAGUGUCACCGGUCCACUGCAUGCCGUACCUGGAUUGUAGCAUGCAGUCCGUCAAGGUUCCAGCUAUGAAAGAGUCCAGAAUGAAACUAAAGCUAAUCUAAAUUUCAUGGAUUGAUUAUGGCAUCGAGUAAGACAAAUGCUCCAAGGCUGUCACCUGUGAACCUGCCAGCAGCACUUAGUAUGUGCCUUGAAAGGAAUUCCAAGUGAAACCUCUCUCUGACACCUCUCUAUCGACUUCCAUGCCCAGCAGCAUGCCAGCAUACAUGGGAAGUUGCAGUCUGAAGCCGGCACGGGAAACCCAAAACGCUAUCACCUGAGCAUCACAUGAUAAAAAACAAUGCUGACGCACCAGUCCGGACACUCACACAGACGACACCAGUGCAUGACCUGCCAAGGGCUGCAAACAUCUCAUUGACACUGACAACCCUCCUAGCCCAGGCCUGUUCUUGUUUCCCAUUGGCUCCCAUCAUUGCAGUGUGCCCAAACAAAACUCCUUCCCUUCUGCCGCCAUAGCCGCCAUCACCAUCCCCGCCAUCGCCACCACCUGCCAUCGUCGACCCUGCCACCAUCAUCGUCACCACCGUCGCCAUUGCCGCCGUUGCCAUCCCCACCUAAUUCUAGAGCUAAUACGUGCGCCAUCCCCACUUCUGGAAGGGUCGUAUUUAUUAGAUAAAAGGCCAGCCGGGCUUUGCCCGUUGAAUGGUGAAUCAUGAUAACUUCACGAAUCGUANNNNNNNNNNNNNNNNNNNNNNNNNNNNNNNNNNNNNNNNNNNNNNNNNNNNNNNNCAGGGAUGGCGACGGCGGAAAUGGUGAUGGCAGGGAUGGCGAUGGGGGGAACGGCAACGGUUGGCGAUGGAGGGGAUGGCGACAGCGUCGCCAUUGCCACCGUCACCAUUCCCCCCAUCGCCAUCCCUGCCAUCACCAUUGCCGCCAUCGCCAUCCCUGCCAUCACCAUUGCCACUGCCGUCAUCCCUGUCAUCGCCACUGCCGCCAUCGCCAUCCCUGCCAUCACCAUUGCCACCGUCGCCAUCCCUGCCAUCGCCAUUCCCCCCAUCGCCAUCCCACCAUCACCAUUGCCACCGUCGCCAUCCCUGCCAUCACCAUUGCCGCCAUCGCCAUCCCUGCCAUCACCAUUGCCACUGCCGUCAUCCCUGUCAUCGCCACUGCCGCCAUCGCCAUCCCUGCCAUCACCAUUGCCACCGUCGCCAUCCCUGCCAUCGCCAUUCCCCCCAUCGCCAUCCCUGCCAUCACCAUUGCCACCGUCGCCAUCCCUGCCACGGUGAUGGCGACGGCGGCAAUGGUGAUGGCGNNNNNNNNNNNNNNNNNNNNNNNNNNNNNNNNNNNNNNNNNNNNNNNNNNNNNNNNNNNNNNNNNNNNNNNNNNNNNNNNNNNNNNNNNNNNNNNNNNNNNNNNNNNNNNNNNNNNNNNNNNNNNNNNNNNNNNNNNNNNNNNNNNNNNNNNNNNNNNNNNNNNNNNNNNNNNNNNNNNNNNNNNNNNNNNNNNNNNNNNNNNNNNNNNNNNNNNNNNNNNNNNNNNNNNNNNNNNNNNNNNNNNNNNNNNNNNNNNNNNNNNNNNNNNNNNNNNNNNNNNNNNNNNNNNNNNNNNNNNNNNNNNNNNNNNNNNNNNNNNNNNNNNNNNNNNNNNNNNNNNNNNNNNNNNNNNNNNNNNNNNNNNNNNNNNNNNNNNNNNNNNNNNNNNNNNNNNNNNNNNNNNNNNNNNNNNNNNNNNNNNNNNNNNNNNNNNNNNNNNNNNNNNNNNNNNNNNNNNNNNNNNNNNNNNNNNNNNNNNNNNNNNNNNNNNNNNNNNNNNNNNNNNNNNNNNNNNNNNNNNNNNNNNNNNNNNNNNNNNNNNNNNNNNNNNNNNNNNNNNNNNNNNNNNNNNNNNNNNNNNNNNNNNNNNNNNNNNNNNNNNNNNNNNNNNNNNNNNNNNNNNNNNNNNNNNNNNNNNNNNNNNNNNNNNNNNNNNNNNNNNNNNNNNNNNNNNNNNNNNNNNNNNNNNNNNNNNNNNNNNNNNNNNNNNNNNNNNNNNNNNNNNNNNNNNNNNNNNNNNNNNNNNNNNNNNNNNNNNNNNNNNNNNNNNNNNNNNNNNNNNNNNNNNNNNNNNNNNNNNNNNNNNNNNNNNNNNNNNNNNNNNNNNNNNNNNNNNNNNNNNNNNNNNNNNNNNNNNNNNNNNNNNNNNNNNNNNNNNNNNNNNNNNNNNNNNNNNNNNNNNNNNNNNNNNNNNNNNNNNNNNNNNNNNNNNNNNNNNNNNNNNNNNNNNNNNNNNNNNNNNNNNNNNNNNNNNNNNNNNNNNNNNNNNNNNNNNNNNNNNNNNNNNNNNNNNNNNNNNNNNNNNNNNNNNNNNNNNNNNNNNNNNNNNNNNNNNNNNNNNNNNNNNNNNNNNNNNNNNNNNNNNNNNNNNNNNNNNNNNNNNNNNNNNNNNNNNNNNNNNNNNNNNNNNNNNNNNNNNNNNNNNNNNNNNNNNNNNNNNNNNNNNNNNNNNNNNNNNNNNNNNNNNNNNNNNNNNNNNNNNNNNNNNNNNNNNNNNNNNNNNNNNNNNNNNNNNNNNNNNNNNNNNNNNNNNNNNNNNNNNNNNNNNNNNNNNNNNNNNNNNNNNNNNNNNNNNNNNNNNNNNNNNNNNNNNNNNNNNNNNNNNNNNNNNNNNNNNNNNNNNNNNNNNNNNNNNNNNNNNNNNNNNNNNNNNNNNNNNNNNNNNNNNNNNNNNNNNNNNNNNNNNNNNNNNNNNNNNNNNNNNNNNNNNNNNNNNNNNNNNNNNNNNNNNNNNNNNNNNNNNNNNNNNNNNNNNNNNNNNNNNNNNNNNNNNNNNNNNNNNNNNNNNNNNNNNNNNNNNNNNNNNNNNNNNNNNNNNNNNNNNNNNNNNNNNNNNNNNNNNNNNNNNNNNNNNNNNNNNNNNNNNNNNNNNNNNNNNNNNNNNNNNNNNNNNNNNNNNNNNNNNNNNNNNNNNNNNNNNNNNNNNNNNNNNNNNNNNNNNNNNNNNNNNNNNNNNNNNNNNNNNNNNNNNNNNNNNNNNNNNNNNNNNNNNNNNNNNNNNNNNNNNNNNNNNNNNNNNNNNNNNNNNNNNNNNNNNNNNNNNNNNNNNNNNNNNNNNNNNNNNNNNNNNNNNNNNNNNNNNNNNNNNNNNNNNNNNNNNNNNNNNNNNNNNNNNNNNNNNNNNNNNNNNNNNNNNNNNNNNNNNNNNNNNNNNNNNNNNNNNNNNNNNNNNNNNNNNNNNNNNNNNNNNNNNNNNNNNNNNNNNNNNNNNNNNNNNNNNNNNNNNNNNNNNNNNNNNNNNNNNNNNNNNNNNNNNNNNNNNNNNNNNNNNNNNNNNNNNNNNNNNNNNNNNNNNNNNNNNNNNNNNNNNNNNNNNNNNNNNNNNNNNNNNNNNNNNNNNNNNNNNNNNNNNNNNNNNNNNNNNNNNNNNNNNNNNNNNNNNNNNNNNNNNNNNNNNNGCGCAGGGGAGAGCAGCGUUCGGCAAGGGGGGCGCAGGGGAGGGCGUCGUUGGGCAAGGGGGGCGCAGGGGAGGGCGUCGUUUGGCUAGGGGCGGCGGAGGGGAGGGCAGCGUUGGGCUAUGGGGGUGCAGGGGAGGGCGUCGUUGGGCUAGGGGGCCGCAGGGAAGGGCGUCGUUGGGCUAGGGGGGUGCAGGGGAGGGUGUCAACCAAGCACCUCCACCCCCUUCAUCCCUUCCCCCUUCACCUCCUCCACCGUCGCCACUGCCACCAUCUCCACCUCCGCCCCGCAUCCCCCUCUCCUCUCUCCCCCCCAUCCCCACCUCCUAUAGGAUACAGCUAUCUCUUCCCCGCAUCCCCCUCUCCUCUCUCCCCCCCAUAUCCAACUUUGCUAUCUUCCUCCCUUCUUCAAUGUGUGUUCACAUCACCCGAUGAUGCAAAAGGAGGAGAAACAUUUCUAUAAAAAACCUUAUGGACUACGGUCUCACCUGUUAGGUUGUCGGGGCUCCACUGCAUUUCCGCCUGGCCCUUCGGCGGACUCCGGACUCCACUCCAUGUCCACCGCCACUGGAGACGAGGCGCCUACACUAGUGUACUGACAGUACUGACAGGGGGGACCUAGCUUCAAAUCGCUGAUGAUCUACAUGUGACGUGUCUGCUAGUUUCGUUUAUUGUACCUGUUUCAUCCGGCUGGUUAGCUUGAGCCUGUGCACAUGCAAGGGGACCAUCAUCAUCCUCCGACUCAUACACUGCACCCCUUGCUUCAUCAUCUGCACAAAUGCACAUCAAAGCAAAUGGCAGACAUGAUUACCUUUACAUCAGUCCACACCCCUGUCCAUUACAUCCGUCCCUUGCCCCGUGCCCGUCGCCCGUCCCUGAGUCGCUGUCACCCGAGCUGCCAUGACCAGCACCCCGUUCACCCCAUCCCCUUCACCUCCCCUGCCGUCACCACGGCCGCCAUUUCCACCUCCGUCCUCUUCAUUGCUGCAAUCCCCGCCCCCCCGUCUCCGUGGCCGCCACUACCACCUCUCUCCCAUGCAUUCCCAUCCGUUCUCACCUGCACCUCCGUCGCCAACCGUUGCUUCUUCAGUGGCAACAAUACGGAUCUCCACCUCUCCAUCCAUCCCAAUGUGUCCAGGUGAUCCGUCACCUGGGAAUAGCAGGGCAUACGACCACGACACCAUGAAGGGUUCCACAUACUUCAUUCUGGAUGAAGUUUCCCCGCCAUUACGUUUAUCCCUUGCCAUUGCAACCGUAACCAUUGCCACUGUCGCCAUCCCCGCUGUCGCCAUCCCUGCUGUCGCCAUCCCCACCAUCGCCCUCCCCACCGUCGCCUUCCCUGCCGUCGCCCGUCCCUUCCUCCGUGCCCGUCGCCCGUCCCAGCAGCGACGUCAGGGGCAACGGCGGCACAGAUGUGCCGCCGUUGCGCCUGACGUUGCCUGAGUCGCCGUCACCCGAGCUGCCAUCACCACCAUCCCCUUCACCCCAUCCCCUUCACCUCCCCUGCCGUCACCACUGCUGCCAUUUCCGUCCUCUUACCUUAUGGACUACGGUCUCACCUGUUAGAUUGUCGGGGCUCCACUGCAUUUCCGCCUGGCCCUUCGGUGGACUCCACUCCAUGUCCACCGGAGACGGGGUGCCUGCACUGACAGGGGGGACCUCGUUUCAAAUCGCUCAUGACCUACAUGUGACGUGUCUGCUAGUUUCGUUUGUUGAUACCUGUUUGGUCCGGUUUGUUAGCUUGCGCCUGUGCUCCCGCACCAACCACCAAAGGGCCCGCCGCAACGGGAGCUUGUUGCUGAGGAAAUUCAUCUGCAUCAUAUUGGACGUCGCAAAUUUUAACCCUACAUAGUACCUGGCAAUGUAUUGCAGCAAUUUCUCACUGCGUCCAGCGACCAUCUCGUUAGGAGCCACGGCAUCGAGGCCAAAAAGCUCUUUGCCAUUAUUACCACCAUGAGGCUGGACGCACUGAUGCAUGAUGACGAGAUUAUAUGCAUGAGACGUGCUAUGAUACUUGCGUUCGCAGGACACACACGUAAUUUCAAAUUUCGACAACGCAUACAGUCGACCGCGGCAGAGGUAACGUGGAUAUGUUUUAACUGGAGGGGCCAUCUUUAUUAGCUAUUAUUACAUGUUCAACAGAGAGCAGGACUUGCGAACAGAUGCUGUGUGCAUUUGUAUGUUCUGAAGGGCCCUACAGCCCUUCAUUCUGGGACAAGCGCAGACUGAACGAAACCUUAUGUUUGGAGUAUUUGUACAGUCAUAAGUAAUUAAAACAAUCCCUGGCAUGGCGAUAUUACAGGGCUUUUGCAUGCUAAGUGGCCAUUUCAGCCGAACCCCGUCGAUAUGCUCUGAAGGCCCCUCAGCCCUUCGUUAUGAAGUGAGCACGAAUGAGCACGAAACGACAACUAGAUGAAGGGAUUCCCGGGUAUCGAAGGGAAGCUGGUUCCCAGAGUGGAAUGUAGUAGCCAGUACACAGUACGGCGCUAUAAAUACGCGCAGAGCGCGACCGCCAGCAACUCGAGAGACCUUUUCAGCGGUCAGCUGCUACAAGGGGGGUGGCCUGCUUCUGCACCUCCUCUGCCACCUGGUUGACCACCAUCAAGUUCUGGCCGCCACCAGCCUUCCGGACCUCUGCCUCAUUGGACACCAGGAUGAACCUCAAGCUACCCAUGCCCUCUAUGAACACGGUUGUGCUCCACACUGCCCAACGCUGCAUGGAGAAAAUCAUGGGCAACAAGGUUCGACAGUAGUUUUCAGCAUGUGGUGCUAUUGCUAGGUGCAGGUGCUCUUAUAUUAUGUUAUUGCUUGGGGUUUACAAAGCAGCUGUGUGUGGUGACCAUGUGGCCAGCACAGGAUGCAGGUAUAACGUUUGACAAUCACCAUCAGUAUGUGUGUGUAUGUGCGUGUGUAUGUGUGUAUGUGUAUGUGUAUGUGUAUGUGUAUGUGUAUGUGUAUGUGUAUGUGUAUGUGUAUGUGUAUGUGUAUGUGUAUGUGUGUCUGUGUGUGUGUCUGUGUGUAUGUGUGUAUGUGCGCAUGCAUGUGUGUGUGUAAAUGGCCACAUGCAUGUGUUGUGUCGUGGGCCAAGUCAUACUUCCACGGGACUACUAAAAGCUGAACCUGUUGCCUCUCCCACAACGAGGGUGAUAAUACCCUUUCGUGAACCCCAAAAACAGCUGCAGAGUGGUUGUGGCCCCAAAAGAGGACUCACUGUGUGUUGUGGGGAAAAUGUGGGCGGUUUCUUCUUCUUCUUGGCCAUGAUGGCCACUCUUUCACCAGCAGGACCCAUAGCUAUAUGGAUGACCACACCUUGGGGCCUUGUGGGUCAACACUAUGAGCGCAAAAGCAGAUGUGAUCGCAGUCAGGAUAGGUAAGUCAUGCAGACACCACAGGAUGCUCUUUUACCUAGUACUUUUACCAGCAGGAGUACUUUGAUAGCUUGUUACAGCACAGAAGACAGAGGCGUCCAAGGCACAGACAAUAUGCACUGUCCCAGAAAAUUGCACCAAAAAUGGCUUACCUUUUGCCAGUAGUACGAGUAGUCGACAAAAAACAUUUGGGAAUGUCCGUGUCAAAAGAAGGAAAGGGGGCGGUACACAAAACCUGUGGGGUGUGCACGGUGUGCAUGUAAGCGCGUCAUACAUUCAAACAUAAGUCGCAUUGUCCAUGUCCUUUUGCAAUGGCUUAUAAGCCGUGCACUCCGUGGGUGUGACAAAAAACAUUUGGGAAUGUCCGUGUCAAAAGAAGGAAAGGGGGCGGUACACAAAACCUGUGGGGUGUGCACGGUGUGCAUGUAAGCGCGUCAUACAUUCAAACAUAAGUCGCAUUGUCCAUGUCCUUUUGCAAUGGCUUAUAAGCCGUGCACUCCGUGGGUGUGGGUGUUUGUGGGUGCUUUUGCUGAUGUUGUUGGCAGGCCAUGCAUGCAAAAAAAGCGACACACACCGCACGAAGUGCCUGCAAGGCAGCAUGGGACCCUUACCAGGCUCACCUUUGCAACCUAAAAUGAGUCGUGUGCGGGUAUCUCACCGAAGGCGGAGAGACUGCCGCAUACAACCAUACAUUCGAUGGUGUUCAUUCGCAAAAAAUUCCGGACAUGAGACCGCACACAACAAUGUGGCAAUGUACACGAAAUUCAAAAUGUGGAACAAUGCUUAUUGUUGGAGGGUGCUGACCGCCUCACAAAUAUAAGCAGCUGACAUGUACGGUUUGCAGCGAAGAUGAAGGAUCCAACUGCCAUAGUUGUUGGGGCAUACGUGCGUAUGCGCGUUCAUGUUUGUGGGUACAACAGUAUAUAUUAUUCGUCUACUUGGAAGCAAUAUAGGGGAACUUAUCGUGGGUAAGCAUGCUUUAAGUUGCGCGCAGCCUGAAAACCACCAUCAGCGCUGCUCUAAGUAACAUAAUAGCUUAAACGCAUGAUUUCCAGGUGUUAUGAUAUUGCUUUGAAUUGCUUGGGGGCGCCGCUGCUGCUUCGGCUUCGCUUCAUAUGUGGUCGGAGACAACGCCUGCGCUUUGGGUGGCGGCGGCUCUGCCAGCUUGAGGACAAGUUUUAUCCGAAUGUAUGGUGCAUAAGUUAUGUGUUCGUUUCCACACAUGCAGCGACACAGCAGCAUCUCAGCACAAGCGUUGCCAUCUUAGCUGCGCGCCUAACCUGUGCAAUCGCUCGCCAUAGUGAUGGGAUUUGGGAUAAGGAUUCAUUAGUUUUUUGGGGGCUUUUGAGAGCUUUGGACCAUGCAGGGAGUCGUAGGUGCAAUCAAAUCGCCAAGCCUGCAGCAACCCACAGCAGCACAUCAUGGGCACCUCAGCAAAAUCUUGCAACAUGUUGUGGCAUCAACAAAAUUUCUCGGAUCAUAGUUCAUGUAUAAAGGGCAAGCGGAAGGAGUGCGCAUGGUUUGGGUAGAAGGGCUUGUGGGAGACAUAGUAAGGGCCUGUGGUAUUGAAAACUGCCCCGUCCAGCAUGUGAUUCAACAUGUCAGAAAUCGUAACAGAUUGUGUUAGUGAGAAAUUUUGGGGUAACACGGGAAGGGUGGUUUCCUGUCCAUCUGCGGGCCAUGCAUGGAGAGGUGAGUUCAAGGAUUCUGAGGGGGAAGGCUAUAUGGGGAUGAGAGCUUCAUGGAUUGUUUAGAAAGAGGUGGUGCUUUUGCAGGAAUUUGGAGCAAAGAAUGCUAGGGAGUUUGCACGGGCGCAUAAGGAUGGGGGGCUCAGGGGGAAGGGCUCAGUUCACAAAGGUUUUGGAGUGGGAGAGGGGUGAAGGGCAAAGGUGGGUGAGAGUUUGGCGGUUUGGGGCUGACCAAGAGCAGUAGAGGGCUCGGGGGAAAGAGAACUUGAGGGUUUGGGAAGGUUAGGAUUGGGGUUUGGGGAAUGGGGAGGGUUGGACUACAGGGUUUGGGGGUUAGGGGGUCGAGCUAGAGGGUUUGGCGGGGUUGUAGGGUUUUACGGGGUUGUAGGGUUGGCAGGGUUAUAGGGCUUGGCGGGAUUGUAGAGUUUGGCAGGGUUUGGGGGAAGGGGGUUAGGGUUUGGGGGUAUCUGUUUUUAGGGUUUUACCCCAUUUGGAAGGAUAUGCCCUGUGGCGAGCGAUUGCACAGGUUAGGCGCGCAGCUAAGAUGGCAACGCUUGUGCUGAGAUGCUGCUGUGUCGCUGCAUGCGUGGAAAUGAACACAUAACUUACGCACCGUACAUUCGGAUAAAACUUGUCCUCAAGCUGGCAGAGCCGCCACCACCCAAAGCGCAGGUGUUGUCUCUGACCACAUAUGAAGCGAAGCCGAAGCAGCAGCGGCGCCCCCAAGCAAUUCAAAGCAAUAUCAUAACACCUGGAAAUCAUGCAUUUAAGCUAUUAUGUUACUCAGAGCAGUGCUGAUGGUGGUUUUCAGGCUGCACGCAACUUAAAGCAUGAUACCCACGAUAAGUUCCCCUAUAUGGCUUCCAAGUAGACGAAUAAUAUAUACUGUUGUACCCACAUACAUGAACGCGCAUAUGCACAUAUGCUCCAACAACUAUGGCAGUUGGAUCCUUCAUCUUCGCUGCACUGUACAUGUCAGCUGCUUAUAUUUGUGAGGCGGUCAGCACCCUCCAACAAUAAGCAUUGUUCCACAUUUUGAAUUUCGUGUACAUUGCCACAUUGUUGUGUGCGGUCUCAUGUCCGGAAUUUUUUGCGAAUGAACACCAUCGAAUGUAUGGUCGUAUGUGGCAGUCUCUCCGCCUUCGGUGAGAUACCCGCACACGACUCAUUUUAGGUUGCAAAGGUGAGCCUGGUAAGGGUCCCAUGCUGCCUUGCAGGCACUUCGUGCGGUGUGUGUCGCUUUUUUUGCAUGCAUGGCCUGCCAACAACAUCAGCAAAAGCACCCACAAACACCCACACCCACGGAGUGCACGGCUUAUAAGCCAUUGCAAAAGGACAUGGACAAUGCAACUUAUGUUUGAAUGUAUGAAUGCACACCCCACAGGUUUUGUGUACCGCCCCCUUUCCUUCUUUUGACACGGACGUUGCACAUUCCAAAAUGGUUUUUGUCGACUACUCGUACUACUAGCAAAAGGUUAGCCAUUUUUUGGUGCAAUUUUCUGGGACAGUGCAUAUUGUCUGUGCCUUGGACACCUCCGUCUUCUGUCCUGUAACAAGCUAUCAAAGUACUCCUGCUGGUAAAAGUACUAGGUAAAAGAGCAUCCUGUGGUGUCUGCAUGACUUACCUAUCCUGACUGCGAUCACAUCUGCUUUUGCGCUCAUAGUGUUGACCCACAAGGCCCCAAGGUGUGGUCAUCCAUAUAGCUAUGGGUCCUGCUGGUGAAAGAGUGGCCAUCAUGGCCAAGAAGAAGAAACCGCCCACAUUUUCCCCACAACACACAGUGAGUCCUCUUUUUGGGGCCACAACCACUCUGCAGCUGUUUUUGGGGUUCACGAAAGUAUUAAAGUAUUAAAUAUGGCCAUACCAGGGGGUAUUUGGAAAGUUAUGGCCAAAAUAAGGCAUAGAAGGCAAUUUUCUCAAAAAUGAGCAAAGAAGUGGGGGAAAAAAGACAAAACUAUAUAUGUCUUUGAAAACUGCAUCAGUUGGUGAUUUCAAAAGUACCUGCUUGAGGGGUACCAAAAAAGUUAUGGGCCAAAAAUGGAGACCCUGGCUUAACUAGGCAUUCAUUUACCCCUUCUGGAAGGGUAUGCCCGGAAGCAGAAGCCCUUGAUAGGGGGGUCAAUCGAUCACAUUUUUCACGUAGAAUCUGUUUAUGCUAUUAAAGAUGGCCAUAGCAGGGGGUAUUUGGAAAGUUAUGGCCAAAAUAAGGCUUAAAAGGCAUUUUUCACUAAAAUGAGGAUUGGUGUGGGGGUAAAAAAGACAUAACUAUUUAUAUCUUUGAAAACAACAUCAGUUGGUGAUUUCAAAAGUACCUGUUUGAGGGGUACCAAAAAUGUUAUGGGCCAAAAAUUGAGACCCUGGCUUAAGUAGGCAUUCAUUGUUUCUACAUUUUGAGUUCCGAAUGACUUCUUUUUAGAUAUAUGAUAUAAAAAUGUUUAUUAGAGACAUGUUUCAUGUUUAAACCAUGGUUAGCUUGCUGUUCACCUGCUUAUCACCUUGCCAGCUAACCCAUUUUCAAGAUUACCCAUCAUCUUGCCAGCCUGCCAGCCUGCCAGCCUGCCAGCCUGCCAGCCUGCCAGCCUUUCCAGCCUUGCCAGCCUUGCCAGCCUGCCAGCCUGCCAGCCUGUAAGCCUGUAAGCCUGUAAGCCUUGCCAUUCUUGCCAGCCUUGCCAGCUUUGCCAGCCUGCCAGACUGCCAGCCUUGACAGCCAUUCCAGCCUUUCCAGCCUGCCAGUCUGCCAGCCUUGCCAGCCUUGCACUCUGGGAAAGGUUUUCACCCGUAAAUUCAUGUUUACCCGUAAUCACGUGGUCUUCACAUGUAAUUACCGGCCAAGAAAAUUUGUAAACAUGCUUAUUUUUAAGUUGCCAAAGCAUUCCUUUUAUAAGGAAGAACAUAGGUGACAUUUUCUUGGUUGCCCGUGCUGGAAGUCAUCCACAGUUUACAUUACCCGUAAUCACAAGGUCUUGACCCGUAAUCCCCCAAGCCGUAAUGCACAGCACCCGUAAAAUUUCACGGGCUUAAUUGCGACGAAGACGUGUUGUGUGUGUGUGUGUUACAUGGUUGGGGGUGCGUGACCCCAUACCUGUAAGAUUACCCAUACGAGCCGAGGGCCCAAGGGUAAUACUACAACGCCUAAAAGCCACGGAGGAAAGGAAAACACCGCACAUCAGCCCAGACUAGCGUCUAAAGGGGGUAAUUGAGUUUCGGUGAGCCCACAUACGUUCCAAUUUCCUCGCCAGACGUGCGGGUUCCCAUUGCAUGGCCUCCAACAUGCUCUGUUGAUGAUCGAAUCCUUCUUCAGCACGAAUAUCAUUAUAGGCUGGGCAUUCCAAUAACAGGGGUUCACAUCCUCAAUUCGGCUAUUAGUACCACAACAGUGGCAAAACCGCUGCGCCCCCUGGGGACGUGGUACUUGCCCCUUCAUGCUCUGUUUGCCUCCAAAGCCCAGCAACAAAAACGAAACUGCAUUACCUUACUAUAUGCUAAACGAGGAAUGAAAACCUUAGCAUGUGUUGGCCACAGGACGGCUGCGGCUCCCGAAAAGGGCAGCCCCAUCCAGUGCUUAUACUUCGCCAUUGUGAUCCAUCUUCGUAUUUGCUGAGCGCGUCUGCCUGCUGCUGCUGUUCCCGGCUGCGUGGGUACCACACCACUGAAAUGUCUGUGUCCGUAUCCGUGCAGAGGCGAUGGAUCUCCGCCACUAUGGGCAGGCAAGCGGUGUUGCCUUUCAUCCCAACCAUGCAGAAUUCCGCCGGUUGGCUGUCCGUCUGGUAUUGCACUGUCCGGCCAUACAACAGGUUCGGUGCCUGCUCUCACAACCAGUGCAAGCUGUACAGCAGCGCCCGCAGUUCUCUUUCUGUGCUGCUAAAGUCAUUCCGCUGCAGCCGCUGGGUUUCCUGAGCUUUGAAGGGCACAAGCAUGCGGCUGUUGGCGCCCAGUUCUUCUCCAGGUAAGAAGGCUGUGAAGGCCCUGUCUGAGGCGUCCCCGACUAGUUCCGUCAUCAGUCGUAGGGCUGGUCCUUUCCGCCAGGUGGCUGUCCCGUUGCGCCUGCCCAGCAGCUCCAUAAACAAGCCUGCCUGGUGUAGCACCUCCGCCGGGUCCCAAACCUCUUCAUCCCACGCCACGCCCCGGGCUACACGCCACACCAUCCACGCAUACAGGGGUGCCAUGGUGACGGCGGGCGUCAUGGCGAUGAUUUUGCCGGCCACCUGCGCCACCUGCCGCACUGUUAGCCAUUUGCCUUCGAGCUGUGUGAGCAGCGUACGGAAUCUAGCUAGCUUGUCAUCUGGUACUCUGAAUGCUUGCGCCUCCGCAUCCACCUCCAUCCCCAAGAAACAGACUCGCCUUCUUGGGAUCAGCUGGCACUUGGACAGGCUGAGGGUGAAGCCUAGGGCUGCCAGCAGCCGUACCACCGCCCCACACUCAUACUGUGCCGCGGCCUUCGACCCCGCGGCACCCAUCUGGUUGUCUAUCAGGAAAGACAUGCGGACCCCUAGCUGCCAUAAAGGCUGGAAAACCUCGAGCUUCAUGCUUGUGUACAAGUGGCAGGCCGGCGCCAGGCCGAACGGCAGGUGUGGCCAAAAAAGCGUCUGCCCCCGCCACCGCAUAGCCAGAUAUGUGUGCUCCCGUUCGUGGAGUGAUAGCUGCCAGUACCCACUCUUGUGGUCCGUGGUGUACAGCCAAUCUUCCAGUAGGAGGUAGCUAGGUACAUCUGCCAGUCGUUCAUACUUCACAGGCCGGUACUUCAAGAAACAGUUAAUGUACAUCGGAUUAAUACAGAGGCGCAGCUUGCCGUCUUUUUCCACUACCCGCAAGCCAUUGAUAACCGUGGGGGGGGGCGCGUCUGCUGGCCAUUUCCGUAUCACCCCUCGGUCAAGGGCCUUUCUCAAUUCGGCUGUAACAAACUCACUGUGCUGAGUCGCGCUGCGAUGGUUAGGAAACUGCACGGCUCGCGGCCGGUCACCCGCCAUGAUAAAGUCUAGGUCGCAAUCCGGCGCCGCGACCCGCAGCAUUUCCUGCACUAUAGCUAGCUUGCAUCCCAGCUCCGGGGCUAGUUCUUGCCCUGGGUAGUCGCACGGCACCCAUUCCAGCUGAAUUCCGCCCUGCAGGUAUCCCAGCCACCGUUUCUGUUUGUCCGUGAGGGGCCGGCCUUCGUUAGCUGCCUGAAAGAACACUUGCCACACUGCAACAUGUAGACGUAUCCUUCCUGCUUGGAAGUCUUCAGGAUCUGGGAGCAAACAGACGACCUCUUCGAGAAACUCCUGUUCAUCCCGCGGAUGUACCGGGUCCUGUUGCCCCAGCCGCUGCAACCUCUGCCAGGCUUCCUGUAGCAGCUGGAGUGCCUCCCUGCCCCCAGCGUUGCGGGCACUCGCUUCCCAGGCUGGUGCUAGUCCUACACCGCUGGAUUUCCGCCCUGUCGGCUGGUGACUCACCCACUGGUCGUCUUCGCAAGGGUCAUCUUCCAACGACAGCAACUCAGUCGGAUCCCUUCCGUCGCCAUCCUGAGUGUCUGCCGGGUAACCCACAUCAGGUUUCCUGUCAUCGUCCCUUGCCGUUCCCUGCGUGCUCUCAGUCGACCUGGUUAGCAUAGGCCUCUGGGCUUGGGUCUCCUAUACACCGAAUAAUAACCGGUGGGGCGGGAAACAGGAUAAGAGGGUCUUGGAGCUUACACUUAGGUGUCCAAAAGGCAGAGCUGCCCUCUUCCAUACCAAGCUCCGCACCCUGCUGUCCCCAGCCCCUGAAAUGGCAGUCAUGAGCCGCCCGUCCAACACCUGGACCGCGGCAGGCUUUUAUUCCAGCCGUUCCCACCGACAGAACCGGCCCACCAGCAGCUAUGAGACCAGAACAGUCGUGUCGGCAGCUGCACGUGGUGCCUAUUCGAGGCACACACAGAGGCCAAUGUCGGGCGUGGGGCCACCAUGCGCUUCCAUGGCUACACCCAAGCAGUCAGCCAGCACUUCGUAAAGCGGAAUGCAGGCAAGAGCCUGAAGGUCGGCGCCCGGGCUCUCAAGAAGACCCAUCGGCAUUUCGUCAGCAUGGGCAGUGUCAUGCAGGCAAUGUACAGGAUGCUCCACCUUGGGACUCCACACAAGAUCACGCAGAAGCAGUUCAAUGAGGCGGCGCUCCAGACUGGGUGCAAGGGCCUGACUGCCUUUGCGGCCCUGCCGUACGUCGACCUCGACCUGUCGUGCCUCUUCACUGUCUCCACCGGCCAUGCCCUGCUGUUCGGAGUGGUCAGCGACUUUGUGGACUACACGCUGAAGUCGCUCAAAGACAUCAAGCCAGCAGACCCAGAUGCCAAGCUGGUCAUGUCUCGUGAAGCACGCCAGCGGGUCGUGGCCCGCAGCCAGUUCCUGGUCGUGACUUCGGACUUCAGGCGGCGGUACAAAUGCAUCAUGCAGUACCGGUGAGCACGGCCAGCACUGGGCAGCCGGCCACACACAGGGGUCGCUAAUAGCCGAGAAAGCCAAUACGACCAGGGGCUUGCCUGAAAAAAACACCUUCGUCUGUCAGAGAGUUUGCUACUCUACCUAUGUAAUGUACUUCUUCUAGUUACACGGUUGCUCGCCACACUGCCCCCCUCCACCCAUGCAGCAAGAGCUACCACAUGGAGGACUGGCUGCACUUCGUUGAGAUGUUCUCCAGCUACAUCUUCAAGGGGGACGUGCUGCCCGAGGCCUUGUGGGCCCUGUGUUGGAGCCUGUGCAGCACGGUCACACACUACUUCUGGCCGCGGCCCCCCGACGAGACCCGUGAGCAGUUCCUGGUGGCAGCCAAGGCGGCUGCAUGCAAGCUCAGAGCUUACACGACCAGGCUGGAGGAGUUGGAGGUGCCAGGCUACAUGUUCACGGUCAACCUGCAUAUCUGCGUAUGCCGGCUGUAUGACCAGGAGUGCCAGCUUGGGUCCACGGCAGGGUUCUCCGACCUGCCGGUGGAACGCAUGAUGCAGCAAAUGAAGACACAAGGCGGAAGGAUGGUGUCACAGGCACCCGAGAAGCACUACAUGCAGUGGCUGUGCCUGAUGUGGGCCUCCGAGUCGCUCACAGAGGCAGACCCUGUGACCGGGGCCAAACACACGACCAACCAGCAGCUUGAGAGGAUGUUGGCACGGCGUGCAGUGAACACCGAGGCUGCCUGGUUUGAUAAACCAGGAGCCAACGGUUACCUGCUUGGAUGAGGCCACAUGGUCUACCCGAGUCCAGAACAGGUGGCACAAGUCCGGGCAGCCAUGGCGAGCCUAGUGCACUGGUAUGCCCUGGCAUUCAAGGAUGUGGCUUCCUGGACAUUGGGUCCCAGUGCGAGCUACGAACUGGACACGGACCGCCUGGAUAGGGUUCUCAUGCCUACACCACCCGACUGUCCCAAGGCCCGCUCCUUUUUGCGUGCCGAGGCACUCAACGAGGAGCAGUACUUCGGGGCUGAGUAUGGGUGCCAGCAGCAGCGGACCUCCUGCUGGGCAUGCUACCAGGCAGAAGUCGGCAACAAGACUCGGACGUAUGCAGCCUACCUCAAGUACUUCGUCCACCUGCCCGCAGAAGAUGGCGCUCAGGAUGUCCGCUUCACUGUGGCAGAUGUGUACUCGGGACAGGUGUUCAGCAGGGGGCUGGUGGUGGUCAACAUGGCGGCCACCCAGACAGCGAGGGCAGGCAGCCAGUGGGAGAUGUGGCAGGACCUAGGGCUGCCGCUAAGUGAGCUGAAGGGCAAGUUCUGCACAGCCGCCCCGGAGGGGGACCGAAAGGGGCUGAUGUACUUCAUGCCAUACACACACUUCACCAACCGCUGAGCAACCGCAGCAAUGAGGCCGAUGGAUGCACCCUUGUCUGGUUGAUAACGAAUGACUACGAAAGUUAUCCCAUGCACAUGUGCAACAGAUGGCACGCAUGUACAUACAUAUGCAGGCGUAUAUGCGUAAAGGCACACUGGCAGUCCAUAUGCCCGUAUGGAGUUUCGGUUCAGUACUCAAAUGGCUUCACAUUCUGCAUUGUUGGAAAGAGUGCCGACAGUGUAAGGUGCGAGGCAGACACCGCCACAGCAGUAUCGGCGGGACUAGUACGACUGGUUGCUGACUGUCCAGUUCACUUGAUGUGUGCUUGCUGGUCACAAAGUGGACGGCACCCACGUUUCAAAGGAGUGGCCCAGAUGCGCCAUCCCCUAUAACAAACACGGUUGUUCCAAAAGGGUUACAAUUGUGACCGAAUUAACACAUGUGUCAGCCAUCAUUGUCACCCAUGCCUUCGCUUCCAUGUGUUUCUUCUCCACCCAUGCCACCAGCUUCUCUACUGACAGCACAUUCCCCUCCAAGCAUGCAGUCGUCGAGUGGAUACAGUGUAUCCUUCUGCAACCAUCCUUGAGACUUGUGCCGGUAUGAGCCGGCUGCCUUGUAACCCUUUUGGAACACCCAGACCACACAAAGGGUUUAAGACAAAAAGCCUCCCAUUGGGUAUUCACCCUAAUCAGCCCUGGCAGCCGGUACUCUGAAUUAAUGUGACACACACGUGAACCUGCCCCCUCCAUCGUCAAUCCCCAUCAUCACAAGGCCACCUGAUUUGCCGCCUUAAGGCAAGCUUGUGUAUGGCCCUCUACAAGACGGGGGGCCCGGUGAGGUCAGCCGCCAGUAGCUCCUUGUACCCAGGGCGGGAAAACACCUUGGGGUAGACGGGGCCGAAUGUUAGCGAAGCAGCCUCUACCCACAGAAGCCCCUCAAUGAGCGUGCCAGUGGGCCACUCGCAGGGAUACACAUAACAGAUUGAACAGCGAAAAGAAACGAAGGUCCACGCGAACCUCGCAGAGAUAGUACUGAUGGCGAGCUGGCGGUAUUCUAGUAUGGGCGCCGUACUUGUAUACUUGCAUGUCAUCAGCCAAGUCUUAUCAUGACCUGCCUCGCUGUCUAUGUUCUUGUAUUCCAUUGUUAUACCUGAUACAGUUUACACUAGCCACGACUCUAGGAUACAGGACGGACCAAUAGCUUCCGCACCGUCUUGACCUGAACAAGUGCAACUCUAUAGUUCCAUAAGCUGGAAAAUGGAACAAGACUUUCCCGGAAGUAUUGAACUCCGGUGUGCUUUAGGGGAUUCCUAUGAACAUCAGAGCCUAAACAUGAUACCGCUUAGUUUUGAGCUGGGAGGUAACAUGAUAUCAGCUAGCAUGUUCAAGGAGCAGAAUGCAAUGUAUUACUUCAAAGGCUGUUCGGGAUCAGCCAGGAGGGCCUGGCCAUCGGCGGGCCCACGCCUGGCAAGGCGACCGCCACCAGCAACUUCAUGACGCAGUUUCAGAAGAAGGUCUUGGACAAGAUCCUGCGACCGUCGACUAUCACUGCAGACCACGGUGCUGUGGCAGCCGCAGUGGGAGCUGAGGCAGUGGAUACUGCGGCUAACGACGGUGAUGGUGCAGCAGCGAGAGCAGCCGCUGGGGACCACGAACAGGCGGUGGGUGGUGGAGAGGCUGCUGCCAUGGGCACGCAUGCCGUGGAUGGUGGCACGGGUGGCGGCCGCACAGCAGGCAUCGCAGCAGCAGCAACCGCAGGGGGGGACACCGGCACGGGUCCCAGGCAGGGCAAGGCGGGCGUUGCCCAGGUAGAAAACCUAGCAGUUUGGAACCUGGGGAGCAUGUUUAACAAGGUCGGGGGGUGCUGAUGGGUUAUGUCAACUUUCAAUGUCAGGGCAGCUUGUUGGGUCUUACCCUGAUAUUUUACCUUGAAUGUAAGCACUGGGUGUUGCUGCCCCCCCCACCAUAGGAUGAGGAUACCACCAACUAUGAUGCAUUCAAGGAGUGGGUCGGCGAGGUGCCAAGAGCGGCUAAGGGCGCAGCUGGCAAGCGCAGGCGGGGUGGCGGUGAUGACGACAACCUGGGUGCGAGGUCGGGGCGCAAGGUUGGAAAUAAACGGCAGAAGGGGAACAAGGGCGCAGGCCGGGGCAGGGGUGCAAGCAAGGGGACCACCAGAGGUGCGGGGAAGGGCGGCGCAGGCAAGGGAGGGUGGAGGGGGCGGACAGAGGAGGGUAGCUCGGAGGGUGGGUCGGAUGCUGGUGAGGAAGAGGUCCUAGCCGCUGGCGCUGGGGAGGAGUCCAGCUCGGAGGACCCGGGCAAAUAUAGCGAAGCUAGCAGCAGCAGCAGCAGUGGCAGUGGCAGCAGCGACAGUGGUGGAAGUGAGCAGUAAUAUGGCAGCAGUGAUGAGCGCUUGGGGGUGCACACACCAGGUCGGCCCCAGGCAGGAUGGGACAGACCAAUCCCAAUAGGUGCCGGUACAUGUCAUGCAUCGGGGGUUUCAUCCGUAGGAGUAGGCACGAACUCUGCAAGUGGUGGUGAGACUCCUUGGCGAGCACUUGCUGUAUGGGGGGUGACAUGAACGCUGUUUUCGAGGACGAUGGGUGAGAUGAAUGCAUCAGGCUGUCAGGCUGGCUGGUUGGCGUUGUGAGUCCAAAGCGCCUUGGUCCACAAGCACACUGAGACUUAGGCUACUUUGACAAGGGGUGUGCGUCCAUUUUGAGGCUUGCCGCAAGUAUUCACCAAUCGUUAAUUUAACAUGCAGUAAGCAUCACAUCGCAGAGUAAUAUCUGCCUGUCUAACCCGUGAUUACAGGGUCUUCACCCAUAAUUGUACGUGUAAUUGGUUACAUGCCCCGUAAUUUACCUGCAGCACCGCGUAAUAUUCACCCGUAAUCACUGGGUCUUUACCCGUAAUUUUGCGUGUAAUUCGUUACAUGCGCCCGUAAUUCACCUGUAGCACCGCGUAAUAUUCACCCGUAAUCACUGAAUCUUCACCCGUAAUUUUGCGUGUAAUUGGUUACAUGCACCCAUAAUUCACCUCCAGCACCGCGUAAAAUCCACCCGUAAUCACUGGGUCUUCACCCGUAAUUUUGCGUGUAAUUGGUUACAUGCGCCCGUAAUUCACCUCCAGCACCGCGUAAAAUCCACCCGUAAUCACUGGGUCUUCACCCGUAAUUUUGCGUGUAAUUGGUUACAUGCGCCCGUAAUUCACCUCCAGCACCGCGUAGUAUCCACCCGUAAUCACUGGGUCUUCACCCGUAAUUUCGCGUGUAAUUGGUUACAUGCGCCCGUAAUUCACCUCCAGCACCGCGUAAAAUCCACCCGUAAUCACUGGGUCUUCACCCGUAAAUGUUCACCCGUAUCCUUGUGCUCAAAUUACGGGACCGGUAACGUGUUACGGACCCGUAAUUUCUGUCAAAUUACGGGUGGAUUGACCCAAAAUUACGGGUAAAAUGACCCCCCUUUUCCCAGAGUGUUGCCAGCCUUGCCAGCCUUGCCAGCCUUGCCAGCCUUGCCAGCCUUGCCAGCCUGCCAGCCUGCCAGCCUGCCAGCCUGCCAGCCUGCCAGCCUGCCAGCCUGCCAGCCUGCCUGUAACGACGCAAAUGCCAAUCUGAGCAUCCCGGGUUACGCCUUUGCUGUGUUACAAUGGUAUCGAGACGGGACCGCACGAAUUCCGAAAUAAACUUCGGGUCGGCGGUUCGAUUCUGGCAACCAGCAAGUCGCAAAUUGGCGAUUUCAUGGUGUAAUGGAUAAACCAGCGCACUGGCGCGAGGUGGGAUGGCUCCUGUGCUCGAAAUAAUGGCCGAGGACGUCCAUUGCUAAGUGGGGGGCAAUGUAACGACGCAAAUGCCAAUCUGAGUAUCCCGGGUUACGCCUUUGCUGUGUUACACUGCCAGCCUGCCAGCCUGCCAGCCUGCCAGCCUUUCCAGCCUUGCCAGCCUGCCAGCCUGCCAGCCUGUAAGCCUGUAAGCCUUGCCAUUCUUGCCAGCCUUGCCAGCUUUGCCAGCCUGCCAGCCUGCCAGCCUUGACAGCCAUUCCAGCCUUUCCAGCCUGCCAGUCUGCCAGCCUUGCCAGCCUUGCCAGCCUUGCCAGCCUUGCCAGCCUUGCCAGCCUGCCAGCCUUGACAGCCAUUCCAGCCUUUCCAGCCUGCCAGUCUAGGGUUUUAGGGAGUACACACGGGGGGAAAGAAUGGGCUAUUGCAGCGAAGCAACGCCCCAGAUGAGUGCUAAAAACNGGUGCAUUAGAACAUGCAUAUUUGAAGCUUAGCCUAACGUUGUCCUUNNNNNNNNNNNNNNNNNNNNNNNNNNNNNNNNNNNNNNNNNNNNNNNNNNNNNNNNNNNNNNNNNNNNNNNNNNNNNNNNNNNNNNNNNNNNNNNNNNNNNNNNNNNNNNNNNNNNNNNNNNNNNNNNNNNNNNNNNNNNNNNNNNNNNNNNNNNNNNNNNNNNNNNNNNNNNNNNNNNNNNNNNNAGGGAGGGUGGGGGAACGGGGCUGGGAGGGUCGAGAGGGUCGGGGCACGGGGGUUGGCGGGGUAUGGGGGAUAGGGAGGGUCGGGGAAUCGGGGUUGGGAGGGUUGGGAGGGUCGGGGAACGGAGGUUGGCGGGGUAUGGGGGUUAGGGAGGGUCGGGGAAUCACAUUUCACAACUCACUUUUCAUGUCCCCCCCUCCCUUUGCCCCCUAAGGCCUGCCACACCAGGGAGGACGUGGAGUGCUGGCACUUCUCCUCAAAGUUACCAAACAGCAUAUAAAGGGCAGCGGGUUCUCUGUCUAGAUCUUUUGCAUGGGGGAUCUUGGAAAACCAAACCAGCAAACCUACAUGGCUGGUGUAGCUACACAAACAAAAGCCUUUUUAUCCCCCGGUUUCCGAGCUUAAGUUUUCCCAAAGCUCUCAGCCCAGUGCAGAGAGACUGUACGUCCUGUACUUGAUCAAGUACUGCACAUACAGUCUCUCUGCACUGGGCUGUGAGCUUUGGAAAAUAUAAAAGAUACCCGUGGGAGCAUUUUUUAGUCAUGAAGCUUCAGACUUAAGUCAGACUCUUCAUCUAUCUUCAUCUAGCUAUCCAUGCCUACGUACCUAAUCUAUCGAGAUAGACAGACAAACAGACAGAUGGGUAGUUGUAUACAAACAGACAGGCAGACAGGCAGACACAAGCAGGUGAUGUUGGGGUAACAAAAACACACAGACAACCACACAAUCACAGCACUGUUGGGGCACAUGGUGGAGUUGGGGUAACAUGAAAACAUGCACACACACAGACAGAGAGAGAGAGACACACACACACACACACACAGAGAGAGAGACACACACACACACACAUACAGAGAGAGAGAGAGACACACACACACACACAGAGAGAGAGAGAGAGAGACACACACACAUACAUACAUACACACACACAGAGUCUCACACACAUACACACACACAGUCUCACACACACAGUCACACACAUACACGCACACAGUCACACACACACAGUCUCACACAUACAUGUACACACACACAUUGUAGCAAGCUACAUUUCCCUUAGAAUAUUUCAACGAUUACUCUUGACAAUAACUGUUAUUUCGUUAACGAUUCGACUCGAGUUUCGUACAUGUUAUGAGUUUCGUCACAUGUCUCGAACAUGGCGGUUGUUCGUAGCAAACCUAAUGGGCUGGGGCCCCGGGGCCCCACCGACAUUAUCCUAGUACGGCAGGACCAUGGUAGGGAAUCUCCGGCAGGUAGGCCGAGAUAUAAGCUACCCGGGUGGGGUGCACUGGCCAGACACUGAAGUAUCACGAAUACUAGGUGUUCGGAGUUCAAGACUCCGCUGCCGCCAUAUAGAUUGUUUUUGUAUACACGUCUAUGCAGACUAGUGCUUGCCGCUGGGUUGGUCUCCUUCCUGCCUCGGCGAGGACUGUCAACUCAACGCUUCCGGGUAACAGGCUGUUGGGAGUUAGAGAUUGAUCAACGUCAUGACCAACCUAACAGCUGUGAGCACACAGCACGCACCUGCAGGCUUUGUGACUGCAGGGCGGUUCAAGGCGAAAUGCAUGCCUUUGUGAAAUGCCCGGCGUACACUAGUACACGGGCUAAGUACGAACAUGACCUCGCGUUUCAAGGGUACAACAUGCGCACGAUUUGACUGAGGCCCCACCCCUGGCACUAGCCAGGUUCCCCUCGGAAGUCUGGGAGACCCGGCACGUUGCUCUAUGGCGCUUCAUAUGCUCAAGUGGACGAGGGAGGACAAUGAUGGUCCACCAUGUAACUGCACUUCAAACGAUUUACCGUCCAUGGGCACGCCAGCUUUUAUGUACAACCCCGCACUUGUAUGGAACUUGUAACACACUCAAACACAUACAAAGACAGACACACAGACACACCCACCCACCCAUUUCAGUCAAACACACACACACACACACACACAGACAGACAGACACACGGACAGACAAACAGAGACAGACAAAAGGAGAGACACAGAGACAGACACACAGACAGACAGAGACAGACACAGAGGCAGACACACAGACAGACAGACACGCACUAUGAGAAGGGGUGAUCGCGUUACGUCGCGUUAAACUCGCGUCACGGGGCAUUAACGCGCUUUUUACGCGACGCAAACGCGAUUUUAUGCACUGUUCA
Molecule: long non-coding RNA, 52772 nt
Filed under: Volvox carteri
Lineage: Eukaryota; Viridiplantae; Chlorophyta; Chlorophyceae; Chlamydomonadales; Volvocaceae
Description: long non-coding RNA (VCAR_LNC002806)
Source: RNAcentral